UUGGUGAUGCGAAACGCAAAGAUUCAUCAUCUCAACGGCAUGCAUCAGAACAGUUAAGACUUGAUGUUUAAGCUGGGGAGAAAGAAUCAAAUAAAUGGUCUCAUUCAUUGCAAGAACAAGAGAGUAAGUACAUGAUCACCAACACAAAGAAUGGCACGCCGGCGCACGUACUGGACACACCUCCCACACCACCGCGACCCAUACAUACACACACGCACGCGCCCACACCUCACGCCCCAACACGAACACACGCACACACACCAAGACGACGAGUAAACCAAGCCGGACAGACGAAGAAGGGUCAUCUCAUCUCAUCACACGCCACCGCGACGGAUCUAGCAGAAGAGGUAACCGAAGGCGGCGGCGGCGAAGGAGGCCGCUGCGAGGGGCACGGCGGCCGCGGCGUCGGAGGCGGGCGCCGGGGCCGGGGCCUCGGCGGCGGCCGCGGAGGCGACGAGCGCGGCGGCCAUGGCGGCGACGGCGACGAACUUCAUCCUGAGACCGGCCAUUGGCGACUUGACUUGGUUCCUGGUGGUGCUGGGAGGAGGGCCGGAGGGGUUCUUGCUGCUGCUUAUUCGGCUGUGAGAUCUCUCUAGGGGGAAGCUAGAGAGAUGCUGCACGCGGAUGAGCAAGAGGCUUGAGAGUGGCGGCNNNNNNNNNNNNNNNNNNNNNNNNNNNNNNNNNNNNNNNNNNNNNNNNNNNNNNNNNNNNNNNNNNNNNNNNNNNNNNNNNNNNNNNNNNNNNNNNNNNNNNNNNNNNNNNNNNNNNNNNNNNNNNNNNNNNNNNNNNNNNNNNNNNNNNNNNNNNNNNNNNNNNNNNNNNNNNNNNNNNNNNNNNNNNNNNNNNNNNNNNNNNNNNNNNNNNNNNNNNNNNNNNNNNNNNNNNNNNNNNNNNNNNNNNNNNNNNNNNNNNNNNNNNNNNNNNNNNAGAGUGGCGGCUUGGGAGGUGGGAGGGAGAGGCGAGCGGGGGUGGCGGCUUGGGAGGUGGGAGGGAGAGGCGAGCGGGGGUGGCGGCUUAUAUAGCGGCGGAGCGGGGAGGGGAGGGGAAGGAUGGCCAGGUCGGUCGCGUAGGGUUGCGGGAGAAGGGAGAGGAGUACGGCUGGCCGUCUGUUGGGUUGGGCUCCGGGCGUGCCGCGUUUGGUGGCCGGUUGGGCUGGCGUUCGUUACCGUUGCGGCCGGGAUCCUCUCUGACCGCGCCCGUUGGAGCGCGUCUCCGGGUGUGUGUGUGUGUGUGUGUGUGUGUGGUGGCUCGGCAUUCAUCAACGUGCGCGCCGCGCUUCCAGGUUUCUUCCUCGAAUUGGAUGCGUGCUCUUAGAUGACUUGAGCUGGAAAAUUCCACUUACUCCAUGAUAAGUAUCUGUAUGGUUAGCACGUCCAUUUCCAAUAACAUCAGCGACUUGGAGGCCGUGGAGCACCAACGAACACGCACUUCACAUUUGCAUAAAACUUUUUUUUGACGUGCCAGUAACAAGAAGAGUACCAGUUAUAAACACGGGAAGCCUUAGAGGCGAAGGCUUUGGUUGUGUACGCCUUAUCAAAUGGCUUUUGCGGCGUGCACAUUCUGUCUAUCUAUUGAGUAGAAUACGGACCGGUCCAAGUAUUAUUAUCUCUCAAAUUAGGUUUUCGCCUAACAUAUUUACAUGAGUUUUAUAUGGUUUAGUGCAUUUUUAAAUAUUUUUAUGGACUAAAAGCAUGUCCAGCCGAGCCCCAAACACGGCCCCCCAAGUGAUUUCUUCACGCCGGCGCCGAAAAAACGGCCCAGUCGCGCCCCCACGAGCUCGUUUUUCGUCGGUUUGGCCGAAAUUAGCGCGUUGGGAGCACCUGGCGGCGCUGGGGGACGCGAUUUUGGCGCGAACGGGGAUGGGCCCGAAGAGUCAGCGAGACGCCGCUUCGUCGCCCUCAUCGCCUCGGUUACCGCGGGAAUCAAUGCCAAGGCUGCCGCGCCGGUCAGCCUCCAUUGAUGCUCCAUUGAUGCCUCACGGGCGGCGAAGUGAAGGCGCCGGCGACGCGCGUCCCGCCCGCUCCCGCCACGUGUCUCCCGGCAUGCAGCCUCUCGUCGCCCCGCUGGGGCUAUAAAAGGCGACCCCUGCCUGCCAGUGAACGCCACAACCUCCCCUGCAUCCACCUCGCAAAAGCAUCCCUAUCCCCCCCUUCCCGCCGCCGAGCAAAGAUAGCCGAGAGGUUUCCAGGCGACGGCGCGACGGCGAACGGUUUCGGCCGCCGCCAACUCCAAGAGCCGGAGGCGCGCCUCCUCUACGAGGUCGAGUACCCGGCGCCCCCAGACAUGCGCGUGCCGGGGGCGUGGAGUGAGCACCGGCGGCGUCCCGGUGCCCGAAGGGGCGGCGCGGCGGGCAGAGAUCGCCCGCAUCCGCUCGUCCCUGACGGAGGAACAGCGAAACGAGCCGAGGUACGCUCCCGACAGCGAAAUGUUGUGGACAAUGUACUUCGAGCAUCGCCGCGAAGAGCAAAUCGCCUCCGUCAACGACGUCAUUCCCCGCGGCCGCCUCAAUGCCGAAGGACGGCGCGAGUGGUGGGUGAUACGUCUCCAACGUAUCUACUUUUCCAAACACUUUCGCCCUUGUUUUGGACUCUAACUUGCAUGAUUUGAAUGAAACCAACCCGGACUGACGUUGUUUUCAGCAGAACUGCCAUGGUGCUCCCCCAGGGCUGUUGCUAGUUGGAGGCACUCGGUGUUUCGAGCAAGCCAUGGAUUGAUGCUUGUUGGUGGUGGGGGUGUAUAAACUUUUACCAUUCAGUUUGGGAACCGCCUAUAAUGUAUGUAGCAUGGAAGAUAUCGCCAUCUCAUAGUUGUUGCGUUCACAGUGAAAGUAUGCCACUCAAAAUGUUAUUCAUCUCUAUUUUAAAUUCGAGCUUUGGCACCUCUACAAAUCCCUGCUUCCCUCUGCGAAGAGCCUAUCUAUUUACUUUUAUGUUGAGUCAUCACCCUCUUAUUAAAAAGCACCCGCUGGAGAGCACGCUGUCAUUUGCAUGUAUUACUAUUAGUUUAUAUUGGGUAUGACUUGACUGGAUCUCUUUUACCAUGAAUUAUAAUGUUUAGUCAGUCCUUGAUCUUUAAAGGUGUUGUGCAUUUAUGUUUUGCGGUCUCAGAAAGGGCUAGUGAGAUACCAUCUUGUUAUAUCAUAUUAUGAUUGUUUUGAGAAACUGUUGUCAUCCGAGUUUUAUUAUUAUUGCUCGCUAGCUGAUUAUGCCAUUGAUAUGAGUAAACAUGAGACCUAAGUGUUAUUGUGAAUAUGGUUAGUUCAUAAUCUUUGCUGAAAACUUGAAUGCUGGCUUUACAUAUUUACAACAAGAGAAAAUAGAGUUUGUAAAAGUUUUUCUUUAUCACUUUCAGUUUAUCAACUGAAUUGCUUGAGGACAAGCAAAGCUUUAAGCUUGGGGGAGUUGAUACGUCUCCAACAUAUCUACUUUUCCAAACACUUUUGCCCUUGUUUUGGACUCUAACUUGCAUGAUUUGAAUGAAACUAACCCGGACUGACGCUGUUUUUAGCAGAACUGCCAUGGUGUUGUUUAUUGUGCAGAAAACAAAAGUUCUCGGAAUGACCUGAAAAUCCACGGAGAUAACUUUUCGAAAAUAUAAAAAAUACUGGCGAAAGAAUCAAGGCCAGGGGGCCCACACUCUGUCCACGAGGGUGGGGGGCGUGCCCCCUCCCCUUGGGCGUGCCCCCUAUCUUGUGGGCCCCCUGAUGCUCCAUUGACCUCAACUCCAACUCUAUAUAUUCCGUUUCGUGGAGAAAAAAAUCAGAGAGAAAGUUUCAUCGCAUUUUACGAUACGAGGCCACCGCCAAGCCCUAAUCUCUCUCGGGAGGGCUGAUCUGGAGUCCGUUCGGGGCUCCGGGGAGGGGGAUUCGUUGCCAUCGUCAUCAUCAACCAUCCUCUUGUUGGGGAACGUAGCAGAAAUUCAAAAUUUUCUACGCAUCACCAAGAUCAAUCUAUGGAGAUUCUAGCAACAAGAGAGGGAGAGGAUGAGUGUAUCUUCAUACCCUUGAAGAUCACGAUGCGGAAGCAUUACAAGAACGCGGUUGGUGUAGUCGUACACGCAGCGAUUCAGAUCACGGUCGAUUCCGAUCUAAGCGCCGAACGGACGGCGCCUCCGCGUUCAACACACGUACAGCCCGGGGACGUCUCCUCCUUCUUGAUCCAGCAAGGGGAUAGGAGAAGUUGAGGAAGAACUCCGACAGCACGAUGGCGUGGUGGUGAUGGAGCUCGUGGUUCUCCAGCAGGGCUUCGCCAAGCACUACGUAGGAGGAGGAGGUGUUGGAGGAGGGAGAGGGCUGCGCCAGGGGAAGAGUGCAGCUGCCCUCUCUCUCCCUCACUAUAUAUAGGGGGAAGGGAGGAGGGGGAGGCGCCCUAGGGUUCCCUAGGGGAGGGGCGGCGGCCACAGGGGAAACCCUAGAUGGGUCUGGGCGCCCCCACCCCAUAGGAAACUUGCCCCCCAAGCUGGGAGGGUGGCUUCCCUAGGGGUGGAGCCCCCACCUCUCCUGGUUACGUGAGAUGGGGUGGGAGGGGCGCUCAGCCCCUUAGUGGGCUGAUGUGCCCUCUCCCCUUGGCCCAUAAGGCCCCCCAACGCUUGCCGGGGCCUCUGAAACCCCUUUCGGACAUGCUGGUCAUCACCUGGUACCCCCGGAACAAUUCCGGACUCCAAUACCCUUCAUCCAAUAUACCGAUCUUCACCUCCAGACCAUUCCGGAGCUCCUCGUCAUGUCCGGAAUCUCAUCCGGGACUCCGAACAACCUUCAGUAACCACAUACUAUUUUCCAUAACAACUCUAGCGUCAUCAAGCCUUAAGUGUGUAGACCCUACGGGUUCGGGAACCAUGCAGACAUGACCGAGACGUUCUCCAGUCAAUAACCAACAGCGGGAUCUGGAUACCCAUGUUGGCUCCCACAUGUUCCACGAUGAUCUCAUCGGAUGAACCACGAUGUCAAGGAUUCAAGCAAUCCCGUAUGCAAUUCCCUUUGUCAAUCGGUAUGUUACUUGCCCGAGAUUCGAUCGUCGGUAUCCCAAUACCUCGUUCAAUCUCGUUACUGGCAAGUCACUUUACUCGUUCCGUAAUGCAUGAUCCCGUGACUAACUACUUAGUCACAUUGAGCUCAUUAUGAUGAUGCAUUACCGAGUGGGCCCAGAGAUACCUCUCCGUCAUACGGAGUGACAAAUCCCAGUCUCAAUUCGUGCCAACCCAGCAAACACUUUCGGAGAUACCUGUAGUGCACCUUUAUAGCCACCCAGUUACGUUGUGACGUUUGGCACACCCAAAGCAUUCCUACGGUAUCCGGGAGUUGCACAAUCUCAUGGUCUAAGGAAAUGAUACUUGACAUUAGAAAAGCUUUUAGCAAACAAACUACACGAUCUUGUGCUAUGCUUAGGAUUGGGUCUUGUCCAUCACAUCAUUCUCCUAAUGAUGUGAUCCCGUUAUCAAUGACAUCCAAUGUCCAUGGUCAGGAAACCAUAACCAUCUAUUGAUCAACGAGCUACUCAACUAGAGGCUCACUAGGGACAUGUUGUGGUCUAUGUAUUCACACAUGUAUUAUGGUUUCCAGUUAAUACAAUUAUAGCAUGAACAAUAGACAAUUAUCAUAAACAAGGAAAUAUAAUAAUAACCAUUUUAUUAUUGCCUCUAGGGCAUAUUUCCAACAGUCUCCCACUUGUACUAGAGUCAAUAAUCUAGUUCACAUCACUAUGUGAUUGUAAUGAAUCCAACACCCAUUGGGUUUGAUCAUAUCUCGCUUGUGAGAGAGGUUAUAAGUCAACGGGUCUGAAUCUUUCAGAUCCGUGUGUGCUUUACAAAUCUCUAUGUCAUCUCCUAGAUGCAGCUACCACGCUCUAUUUGAAGCUAUUCCAAAUAACUGUUCUACUAUACGAUUCCGGUUUACUACUCAGAAUAAUCCGGAUUAGUGUCAAAGUUCACAUCGGCGUAACCCUUUACGACGAACUCUUUUACCACCUCCAUAAUCGAGAAAAUUCCUUAGUCCACUAGUUACUAAGGGUAUGUUUGACCAUUGUCUUGUUAUCCAUUCCUGGAUCAUUCUUGUACCCCUUGACUGACUCAUGGCAAGGCACACUUCAGGUGCGGUACACAGCAUAACAUACUGUAGAUCCUAUGUCUGAAGCAUAGGGGACGACCUUCGUCCAUUCUCUCUCUUCUGCCGAGGUCAUGUCUUGAGUCUUACUCAAUACUCACACCUUACAACACAACCAAGAACUCCGUCUUCGCCGAUCUAUUUUGAACCUCUUCAAAAUCUUGUCACGACAUGUAUUCAUUUGAAAGUAUUAUUCAGUUGAUCUAUCCUUAUAGAUCUUGAUGCUCAAUGUCCAAGUAGCUUAAUCCAGGUUUUCCAUUGAAAAACACCUUUUCAAAUACCCUAUAUGCUUUCUAGAAAUUCUACAGCAUUUCUAAUCAACAAUAUGUUAACAACAUAUACUCAUCAGAAAUUCUAUAGUGCUCCCACUCACUUCUUUGGAAAUACAAGUUUCUCAUAAACUUUGUAUAAACCCAAAAUCUUUGAUCAUCUCAUCAAAGCAUAUAUUCCAUCUCCGAGAUACUUACUCUAGUCCUUAGAAGGAUUACUGGAGCUUUGCAUACUUCUUAGCAUCUUUCAGGAUUGACAAAACCUUCUGGUUGUAUCACAUGCAACCUUUCCUCAAAAAAAUCAUUAAGGAAACAAUGUUUUAACACCCUAUCUUCAAGAUUUCAUAAAUAAUGCAGUAACUGCUAAUAUAAUUCCAACAUACUCUUAGCAUCGCUACGAGUGAGAAAGUCUCACCGUAGUCAACUCCUUGAACUUGUCGGAAAACAUCUCAGCGACAAGUCGAGCUUUGUUAAUGGUGACACUUACCAUCAUUGUCUGUAUUCCCUUUAAAAAUCCAUCUGUACCCAACAGCCUUAUGACCAUCAAGUAGUUCUUCCAAAGUCUACACUUUGUUUUAUACAUGGAUCUUCUCUCGGAUUUUAUGGCCUCGAGCCAUUUGUCGGAAUCCGGGCCCACCAUCGCUUCUCCAUAGCUCGUAGGUUCAUUGUUGUCUAGCAACAUGACCUCCAAGACAGGAUUACCGUACCACUCUGAAGCAGUACGCGUCCUUGUCGUUCUACGAGGUUCGGCAGUGACUUGAUCCGAGGCUUCAUGAUCACUAUCAUCAGCUUCCACUUCAAUUGGUGUAGGUGCCACAGGAACAACUUCCUGUGCCCUGCUACACACUAGUUGUAGUGACGGUUCAAUAACCAUAUCAAGUCUCCACCAUCCUCCCACUCAAUUCUUUCGAGAGAAACUUUUCCUCGAGAAAGGACCCGUUACUAGAAACAAUCACUUUUGCUUCCGGAUCUGAAAUAGGAGGUAUACCCAACUGUUUUAGGUGUCCUAUGAAGAUGUAUUUAUCCGCUUUGGAUUCGAGCUUAUCAGGAUGAAACUUUUUUUCACAUAAGCGUCGCAGCCCCAAACUUUCAAGGAACGACAGCUUAGGUUUCUCUAAACCAUAGUUCAUACGGUGUCAUCUCAACAGAAUUACAUGGUGCCCUAUUUAAAGUGAAUUUGGUUGUCUCUAAUGCCUAACCUAUGAACGAUAGUGGUAAUUCGAUAAGAGACAUCAUGGUAUGCCCCAUAUCCAAUAGGGUGCAGUUAUGAUGUUCGGACACACCAUCACACUAUGGUGUUCCAGGCGGUAUUAGUUGUGAAACAAUUUCCACAAUGUCUUAAUUGUGUGCCAAACUCGUAACUCAGAUAUUUAUCUCUAUGAUCAUAUCAUAGACAUUUUAUCCUCUUGUCACGACGAUCUUCAACUUCACUCUGAAAUUACUUGAACCUUUCAAUAAUUCAGAUUUGUGUUUCAUCAAGUAAAUAUACUAAGAAUCUACUCAAAUCAUCUGUGAAGUAAGAGCAUAAUGAUAUUCACCGCGUGCCUCAUCACUCAUUGGAUUGCACACAUCAAAUGUAUUACUUCCAACAAGUUGCUCUCUUGUUCCAUCUCACUGAAAACGAGGCCUUUCAGUCAUCUUACCCAUGUGGUAUGAUUUGCAUGUCUCAAGUGAUUCAAAAACAAGUGAGUCCAAACGAUCCAUCUGCAUGGAGUUUCUUCAUGCGUAUAUACCAAUAGACGUGGUUUGCAUGUCUCAAUCUUUUCAAAAACGAGUGAGUCCAAAGAUCCAUCAAUAUGGAGCUUCUUCAUGCGUUUUUACCAAUAUGACUUAAGUGGCAGUGCCACAAGUAUGUGGUACUAUCAUUACUAUCUUAUAUCUUUUGGCACGAACAUGUGUAUCACUACGAUCAAGAUUCAAUAAACCAUUCAUUUUAGGUGCAAGACAGUUGAAGGUAUUAUUCAAAUAAACAGAGUAACCAUUAUUCUGCUUAAAUGAAUAACCGUAUUGCGAUAAACAUAAUCCAAUCAUGUUUAUGCUCAACGCAAACACCAAAUAACAAUUAUUUAGGUUUAACACCAAUCUCGAUGGUAGAGGGAGCAGGCAAUGCUUGAUCACAUCAACCUUGGAAACACUUCCAACACACAUCGUCAUCUCACCUUUAGCUAGUCUCCGUUUAUUCCGUAGCUCUUUUAUUUCGAGUUACUAACACUUAGCAACCGAACCGGUAUCUUAAUACCCUGGUGCUACUAGGAGUACUAGUAAAGUACACAUUUAAUACAAUGUAUAUCCAAUAUACUUCUGUCAACCUUGCCAGCCUUCUCAUCUACCAAGUAUCUAGGGUAGUUCUACUUCAGUGACUGUACCCUCAUUACAGAAGCACUUACUCUCGGGUUUGGGUUCAACCCUGGGUUUCUUCACUAGAGCAGCAACUGAUUUGUCGUCUCAUGAAGUAUCCCUUCUUGCCCUUGCCCUUCUUGAAACUAGUGGUUUUACUAACCAUCAACAAUUGAUGCUCCUACUCGAUUUCUACUUUCGCGGUGUCAAACAUCGUGAAUUGCUCAAGGAUCGUCAUGUUUAUCCCUGAUAUGUUAUAGUUCAUCACGAAGCUCUAAUAGCUUGGUGGCAGUGACUAUGGAGAACCAUCACUAUCUCAUCUGGAAGAUUAAUUCCCACUCAAUUCAAGUGAUUGUAGUACUCAGACAAUCUGAGCACAUGCUCAAUGAUUGAGCUUUUCUCCCUUAGUUUGCAGGUUAAGAAACUUGUCGGAGGUCUCAUACCUCUUGACGUGGGCACGAGCCUGAAAUCCUAAUUUCAGCUCUUGGAACAUCUCAUAUGUUCUGCGACGUUUCAAAAAAUGUCUUCGCUGCCUCAAUUCUAAACCGUUUAACAUUACGCACUGAACUAUCACAUAGUCAUCAAAACGUGUAUGUCAGAUGUUCGCAACAUCCACAAACGACGCUAGAGGUUCAGCACACCGAGUGGUGCAUUAAGGACAUAAGCCUUCUGUGCCGCAAUGAGGACAAUCCUCAGUGUACAGACCCAGUCUGCAUAAUUGCUACUAUCAACUUUCAACUAAAAUUUUCUCUAGGAACAUAUCUUAAACAGUAGAACUAAAGCGCAAGCUAUGACAUAAUUUGCAAAGUCCUUUUGACUAUGUUCAUGAUAAUUAAGUUCAUCUAAUGAACUCCCACUCAGAUAGACAUCCCUCUAGUCAUCUAAGUGAUACAUGAUCCAAGUCAACUAGGCCGUGUCCGAUCAUCACGUGAGACGGACUAGUCAUCAUCGGUGAACAUCUCCAUGUUGAUCGUAUCUACUAUACGACUCAUGUUCGACCUUUCGGUCUCUUGUGUUCCGAGGCCAUGUCUGUACAUGCUAGGCUCGUCAAGUCACCCUAAGUGUUUUGCGUGUGUAAAUCUGGCUUACACCCGUUGUAUGUGAACGUUAGAAUCUAUCACACCCGAUCAUCACGUGGUGCUUCGAAACAACGAACUUUCACAAUGGUGCACAGUUAGGGGGAACACUUUCUUGAAAUGUUAAUGAGGGAUCAUCUUAUUUAUGCUACCGUUGUUCUAAGCAAAUAAGAUGUAAUCAUGAUAAACAUCACAUGCAAAUCAUAAAGUGACAUGAUAUGGCCAAUAUCAUCUUGCGCCUUUGAUCUCCAUCUUAAGGCACGACAUGAUCACCUUCGUCACUGGCAUGACACCAUGAUCUCCAUCAUCGUGUCUUCAUGAAGUUGUCUCGCCAACUGUUACUUCUACUACUAUGGCUAACGGUUUAGCAAUAAAUUAAAGUAAUUACAUGGCGUUUUCAAUGACAUGCAGGUCAUACAAUAAAUUAAGACAACUCCUAUGGCUCUUGCCGGUUGUCAUACUCAUCGACAUGCAAGUCGUGAUUCCUAUUACAAGAACAUGAUCAAUCUCAUACAUCACAUAUAUCAUUCAUCACAUUCUUUUGGCCAUAUCACAUCACAUAGCAUACCCUACAAAAACAAGUUAGACGUCCUCUAAUUGUUGUUGCAUGUUUUACGUGGCUGCUAUGGGUUUCUAGCAAGAACGUUUCUUACCUACGCAAAAGCCACAACGGUGAUAUGCCAAUUGUUAUUACCCUUCAUAAGGACCCUUUUCAUCGAAUUCGAUCCAACUAAAGUGGGAGAGACUGGCACCCGCUAGCCACCUUUAUGCAACAAGUGCAUGUCAGUCGGUGGAACCUGUCUCACGUAAGUGUACGUGUAAGGUCGGUCUGGGCCGCUUCAUCCCACAAUACCGUCGAAACAAGAUAGGACUAGUAACGGUAAGCAUAUUGAACAAAACCAACGCCCACAACUACUUGUGUUCUACUCGUGCAUAGAAUCUACGCAAUAGACCUAGCUCAUGAUGCCACUGUUGGGGAACGUAGCAGAAAUUCAAAAAAAUUUACGCAUCACCAAGAUCAAUCUAUGGAGAUUCUAGCAACAAGAUAGGGAGAGGAUGAGUGUAUCUUCAUACCCUUGAAGAUCGCGAUGCGGAAGCGUUACAAGAAUGCGGUUGGUGGAGUCGUACACGCAUCGAUUCAGAUCGCGGUAGAUUCCGAUCUAAGCGCCGAACGGACGGCGCCUCCGCGUUCAACACACGUACAGCCCGGGGGCGUCUCCUCCUUAUUGAUCCAUCAAGGGGAGCGGAGAAGUUGAGGGAUAACUCCGACAGCACGACAACGUGGUGGUGAUGGAGCUCGUGGUUCUCCGAUAGGGCUUCGCCAAGCACUACGGAGGAGGAGGAGGUGUUGGAGGAGGGAGAGGGAUGCGCCAGGGGAAGGGUGCAGCUGCCCUCUCUCUCCCUCACUAUAUAUAGGGGGAAGGGAGGAGGGGGAGGCCCCUGGGGUUCCCUAGGGGAGGGGCGGCGGCCACAGGGGAAACCCUAGAUGGGUUGGGCGCCCCCACCCCCUAGGAAACUUUCCCCCCAAGCCGGGAGGGGCGGCUGCCCUAGGGGUGGCGCCCCCACCUCUCUUGGUUACGUGAGAUGGGGUGGAGGGGCGCUCAGCCCCUUAGUGGGCUGAUGUGCCCUCUCCCCUUGGCCCAUAAGGCCCCCCAACGCUUGCCGAGGCCUCCGAAACCCCUUUCGGACACGCUGGUCAUCACCUGGUACCCCCGGAACAAUUCCGGACUCCAAUACCCUUCGUCCAAUAUACCUAUCUUCACCUCUGGACCAUUCCGGAGCUCCUCGUCAUGUCCGGGAUCUCAUCCGGGACUCCGAACAACCUUUGGUAACCACAUACUAUUUCCCAUAACAACUCUAGCGUCACCGAACCUUAAGUGUGUAGACCCUACGGGUUCGGGAACCAUGCAGACAUGACCGAGACGUUCUCCGGUCAAUAACCAAUAGCGGGAUCUGGAUACCCAUGUUGGCUCCCACAUGUUCCACGAUGAUCUUAUCGUAUGAACCACGAUGUCAAGGAUUCAAGCAAUCCCGUAUGCAAUUCCCUUUGUCAAUCGGUAUGUUACUUGCCCGAGAUUCGAUCGUCAGUAUCCCAAUACCUCGUUCAAUCUCGUUACCGGCAAGUUACUUUAUUUGUUCCGUAAUGCAUGAUCCCAUGACUAACUACUUAGUCACAUUGAGCUCAUUAUGAUGAUGCAUUACCGAGUGGGCCCAGAGAUACCUCUCCGUCAUACGGAGUGACAAAUCCCAGUCUCAAUUCGUGCCAACCCAACAAACACUUUCGGAGAUACCUGUAGUGCACCUUUAUAGCCACCCAGUUACGUUGUGACGUUUGGCACACCCAAAGCAUUCCUACGGUAUCCGGGAGUUGCACAAUCUCAUGGUCUAAGGAAAUGAUACUUGACAUUAGAAAAGCUUUUAGCAAACGAACUACACGAUCUUGUGCUAUGCUUAGGAUUGGAUCUUGUCCAUCACAUCAUUCUCCUAAUGAUGUGAUCCCGUUAUCAAUGACAUCCAAUGUCCAUGGUCAGGAAACCAUAACCAUCUAUUGAUCAACGAGCUAGUCAACUAGAGGCUCACUAGGGACAUGUUGUGGUCUAUGUAUUCACACAUAUAUUAUGGUUUCCAGUUAAUACAAUUAUAGCAUGAACAAUAGACAGUUAUCAUAAACAAGGAAAUAUAAUAAUAAUCAUUUUAUUAUUGCCUCUAGGGCAUAUUUCCAACAAUCACCAAUUUCAUGAUGCUCACCGCUGUGCGUGAGUAAUUCCAUCGUAGGCUUCCUGGACAGUGAUGGGUUGGAUGAGAUUUACCAUGUAAUCAAGUUAGUUUUGUUAUGGUUUGAUCCCUAGUAUCCACUAUGAAAAGGAUCGAGAUGGACCUAGAGGGGGGGGGAUGAAUAGGUACAAUUACAAAUUUUAAGUAUUACUUAGCAAUUUUAGGCAAUAAUGCGGAAUAUGAAGGUGAGCCUAACAAUUGCUAGUAAGUACUAAGUACAAGGAAAGUAACACAAGCAUAUAAGUGAGCAAGCACAAUAUGAUGUAAGUAAGUGCAAACAAGACAAGUAGCCACAAGUAGAGAGUUAGGGUUAGGAAUAACCGCAACUCCGGGAGACGAGGAUGUAUGCCGAUGUUCACUUCCUUGGAGGGAAGCUAGUCACCGUUAGAGAGGUGGAUGUUACCACGAAGGCACACCAACGCCACGAAGGCUCACCCUAUUCUCCCUUGGAAACAACACCAUGAAGGCGUUUCUCAACCACUAGUGGUAGACCUUGGGGUGGUCUCCAAACCCUCACAAACAUAUCCGGGGGUAAUCACAAAGGUCGAUUCCUCUCCGAAAGACUCCUACCGCCUAGGAGUCUCCAACCUCCAAGAGUAACAAGAUCGAUGGGGAUUUGCUCAAGACUUGCUCAAAUCACGAAUUCCUUGGGUGCAAAGAAGGAGGAGAAGUGGAUCUAUCACUUGAUCGGACAACUUCUUCCCAAAGCUCUCAAAUCCCUUGGGGAUCUAAGAUUUGGUGUGGAGGAAUGAGAGAGAGUGUGAGAAGUGUUCUAGGGUUUGUUCAAAGUGAAUGGUCAACCUCUCUAGUGGGAAAGAGAGGCAAUAUAUAUAGUGUGAGCUCAAAUAUGGCCGUUGUAGUGCAAGUGAACGGGCAGGCCGGACAUCCGGGCUGGAGGCCGGACAUCCGACCUGUCAAGCCACUUGGAGAACAGGGCAGAACAGAGUAGGAACCAGAGGAGCCGUACAUCCGGGGGUCAAGCCCGGACAUCCGGCGAAAAGGGAAGCCCGGACAUCCGAAAGAUAGCCGGACAUCCGGAGAGCCCACGAACGUUUACAGAACCACAUCAGUUUGUCGGGCAGUAAGGGGCCAGACAUCCGGAAAGGGGCCUGGACAUCCGGUAAGACAGGAAGGCCCGGAAAUCCGGCACACACCCGGACAUCCGGCGAAAAACAGAAAACCUACUAGACAGGAAGGCCAGAUAUCCGGGGCAAGAGCCAGAUAUCCGGGAGAGGACAGCGGCCCGGACAUCCGGCACGAGGCCCGGACAUCCGACACUCCCAGAGACAGAAUGGAUCAAAGACCUAUAGAAAAGAGUAUUUUGACUCGAGCAAGUCCGUUACGAACCCAAUCGAUCCCCUCUUAAUAGUGCGGGAUCCUAUACUCAAGGAAACAAAAUGAAACAUCAUUUUAACACUUCAACCUUGAGAGAACCCACAUCGUAUGCUCUUGAUCCACACACAAUUUUGAUGAACCGGGGACCAACACCUGAGAUUCACUUGGCAGCCAUUGUUAGUCCCCUACAUGUAGAUUGUCAUAACCAACAAAAACAUAAUGUAAGGGCAUGAUUGCACUUUCAAUCUCCCCCUUUUUGUUUGUUGAUGACAAUCAUACAUGUAGUAUCAUAGAUGUAAUAAAUAGUCUUAGCAAUGAUAAUCAUGGGAGCAAAACGCAUACAGAAUAUGUUUAGUUACAAUUUGCUUUUAGCUCCCCCUCAUUGUGUGCAUGCGAUGAAUAUAUUAGGAUGACCAACACAACAGUUUUCAUAUGUGACUUAAAGAAUUAAAGAAGUAAGAGACGAGCACAUAUGAAAUCAUCAUAACACUUCAAAUAGACUGAGAACAUUUCAUGGCCAUGCCAUAAUCAUAACAUAGUCUCAAGCGAACAAGUACCAUAGGUAGCAGCAUAAACAUAAUCAUAACAUAUUCUCAAGCGAACAAGUACCAUAGGGAAUAACAUAUCAUAGCAUGACCAUAUUACUACGAUACUACUUCUCCCCCUUUGACAGCAACAAGUAAAAAAGGGGUGAAGAACUAAACAGUCUCAAUCACUCUUGACGGAUGUCAUCAUCAUCAUCAAGAAACUUGGGGUAGUCAGCACGAGAUGGAAAGCCAGAAGUGGACGAGGAUGGAGCUGCGGGAAGAGGAUCAUCAUCACUAACAGGACUCCCACGGUCACGGAGGCGAUGUUUGAGUAUAUUCUUGGAGAUGACAAGGCGCUUCUGAACAUCAUGAUUCUACUGACAGCUGAAAGUGAUUGCCUUCAUGAUAGCAGACUGAGCCUUACCCAAGAAUGAUGCAAAACGGCCACGAGGAGCGGUCGAGGAAGAUGGAACAGAAGAACCAGUGGGCUGAGUAGGAGCAGCUGUCCUCCCACCAGCAGACCUCCUAGGCUGAGUAGGAGCCUUAGCCGUCACACGCAUGUGAGGAGGAGGUUUCCAAAUGGAGUGCACAAUUGACUUAACCACCUCAAAUGGAGCAGUGUGAUCAAUCAGAGCCUGAAUAUAUGGGGCAUGAGGGAACUGGCACGUCUGAAUAAAACUGCAAAGACGGAUCUCAUGCCAAAUGAAGUUGGCAGUGUCCAGAGGCACAGUGGGUUUCUCAUGCAUAUGAACCAUCAAGUCAAUACAAUAGUUGCGAGCCCUCGAGCGAUCUCCCUUCUUAGGAUAUAGAAUGCGAAGCACACACUGAAAGAGGAUGAAGAAAGGAGCAUGGAAUAUGGAUACCUCAUUGACUGGAUAUGCUUUUUCUUCAUCAGUGAGCUGAGAGGGAGGUUUUACAAGAGGCAUGCAAGCAUCAAUCCCUUUGGGCUUGCCCUCUGGAUCCAUACUGUGGAUGCAAUGGCCAACACCCGAGAGACCCAAAAUCUGAACAAACCUGUCAUAGGUGAUGCUCAGUGUAGUGUCAUCGGUCAUCCAAGUGAGAGUGUUGUCCGGACCAAAGAAACAGGUGGCAUAGAACUGUAGAAUGGCAGCUUCACUCCAAUCACACCUGAAGGUCAUUGCGGGACCAAGAGUCAUGUCAUAAAUGAUCUUGACUGGAUUGUUAGGGAACAUGGCAGGAUUAUCACGUAGGAAGUUUAGAUCCAAGUAUGAGUGAGGAGCAAGGCCACGCCCAUGGACAAAACUGGAAUAGAGAUCCUGCUGCAUACGAGUCCGGAAUCGAGGAUCUUCGGCAUCAGCCACCAUCUCAUAUUGAUUGACAUCCCGACGGAACUAAAGAUAUUGCCCCGCCCCCACAGUUGUGAAGUCGUGAGUGGGGCGACCUCCGCUAUCAGGAAGCUCCAUGGAGAUGCGACGACCAUGGGUAAUGGGUAUUGCAGAACCAUGAACUUGAGGCAUUGGCGCCCUCCUAGUACCGGGCUUGGACUGUCCAACAGACUGUCGUGGUGCACUGUCAUCCUCUUCCUCUCCAACAUAGUCCACAUCAUCUGGAUCCGAGGCCGAUGGACUGGUGGAUGGUGCUCGCUUCUUCUUCUUGGUGGUGGCCUUCUUUUUCUUGGGCCGCGCAUGCUCAUCGGAGUCAGUGGAGCCUUGCCGGCGAUCAACUGGAAUGGAUAAUGAAUGGUUUUCAAUAAGAAGAAGCCAAAGAACAUGAACAAGGAUACGCCAAAUUAAACCGUGGAAUGAACAAAUUUCAUUCCCAUGGUUAAGUUGAGUAACCGAGUGCAUAUAGAGGUGUUUGUAGGCUUAGGUAAACAGAACCUAAAUGCGAGAGCAAUAGAUAUGGUAAGAUGUACAUGGAGAAUAAUGCAACCCAAUAAGAUUUAGUCACAAGCAAGGGAAGAUGAGAAGAGAUAGCACCCUUACCCCGAGAAGACACCUCGGGACGAUUGGGACCGUAGUUCUUGGUACGAGCCAUGAAGAACUCCGAAGGUGAAUCCCACCGAACACCGGCCCCUCCCAAGAGACUCAAGCCACAAUCCAAGAAAUGGAUUGGAUAGAAUCGUAGAUCGGGAGGAGAGGAGUCCGUUGGCAGGAGAUCAGGGCCGGAGGUCGAAGGAGAUGGGCGGGGCAGCACCGGAGUAGCGGCCCGGCGGCGGCGGCUGUGAGGAGAGAUGAGGAGAGGGACGAAGGGAAAAAAAAUGGAACUGCCCCCAAACCCCACACCCCCUCCCCAGGUAUACGCGACUUGCGGGUGACGGGCCGGACAUCCGGGGCAAGGCCCGGAUAUCCGGCGAGUGGAAAACAGAGACCAGAGAAGCAGCGCCCGGAUGUCCGGCUGAGGCCCGGAUGUCCGGCCACUGACGGUAGUUUAUGAUUGUUUUGAUGGGCAAGGAUUUUUUUCACAGAGCCCGGAUGUCCGGCGAGAGACCCGGAUGUCCGGUCACUGGACAGACGACACACACAAGGGAGAGAUGUGAAGGAGGGGGCUGACACGAGAAUUUUAUAUAGACACCGCCAAGUAGUUUACAUGAGAUUAAUAAGGGGGACAACAUGAGACGUCUAAGGCCAUGCUAAGAUGCAUAAAUAAUCCAAACAUGAUUAAGAAGAAGGGUCCAUAUAAGCAUUGUACAAGCGGUGACUGAGGUCACCAUGUUUGAGCAUAUGGAACAUAGUACCACAAAGAUAUAAACUUUGAGCACAUGGUCACGACUCCAUCAUAUUAAAGUAUCCUAGUUUGAAAAAAACUAUGAUAACUUUGAGAGUGUUUGUUCAAUUUAUGCAUUAUGUAAGGUGAGAGAACUCAUGGAUUGAGUGUCUCCCCCUAAAUAUAUGCCUACAUCAAGACGAGACAUUAAGUUUAUGCAUGGAUGGGUACUAGAUUUCACAUAAUGUUGUCAAGCUCCAAGAUACCAAGUUCACGCCUAAGUCGACAGAACCUUGCUUCAUCCAAUGGUUUGGUGAAAAUAUCUGCCAGUUGCAAAUCUGUACCAAUAUGAUCAAUGUGAAUAUCACCCUUCUCAACAUGAUCUCUCAAGAAGUGAUAUCUAAUAUCAAUGUGCUUGGUGCGGAGAUGAUCCUUGGGGUUCUCAGCAAUGUUGAUAGCACUUUCAUUAUCACAUAGAAGAGGCACAUGUCUAUAGGUGAUAACGUAAUCCUUCAAAGUUUGCCUCAUCCAUAAUAACUGAGUUGCACAACUGGCGGCAGCAAUGUAUUCAGCUUCUGCGGUAGAGAGGGCAAUACAAUUUUGUUUCUUCGAUGACCAACUUACCAAGGAGCGUCCAAGAAAUUGACAUGCACCAUAAGUGGACUUACGAUCCACUUUGUCUCCGGCCCAAUCCGCAUCCGUGUACCCAAUGAGAUCAAACUUAGCAUCCUUGGGAUACCAUAGACCCAACUUUGGGGUAUGAACAAGGUAUCUAAGAAUAUGCUUAACCGCCUUAUGAUGACUUUCCCUAGGGGAAGCUUGAAAUCUAGCACACAUGCAUACACUAAACAUGAUGUCUGGUCUAGAUGCACAAAGAUAAAGCAAUCAACCAAUCAUAGAGCGAUAUUUAGAUGGGUCGAAAGGGAUACCGUUUGUGUCUUUAGUGAGUGUUAUUUUGGUUGGCAUUGGUUUCUUACAUGGACUAGCAUCAGACAUACCAAACUUCUCUAGGAUAUCCUUGAGGUAUUUUGCUUGGGACAAGAAAAUUCCUUCUUGAAUUGUUGAAUUUGAAAUCCGAGGAAGAACUUCAAAUCCGCAUUGAGUGACAUUUCAAAAUUCUUGGUCAUUGACGCUGCAAACUUCUUGCACAAAUGAAUGUUAGGAGAACCAAAAAUGAUAUCAUCUACAUAGAUUUGGCAUAAGAUCAAAUCACCCUUAUCCCUCUUAGUAAAAAGAGUGGGAUCGAUCACCCCUCUCACUAAACCAUCAUCGAGUAAAAACUUCUUAAGAUGAUCAUACCAAGCACGAGGUGCUUGUUUGAGGCCAUACAAAGCCUUAUGAAGUUUAUACACAUAGUCUUUGUGAUUGGGAUCAACGAACCCAGGUGGUUGUGAUACAUAUACUUCUUCUUGUAGAGGACCAUUAAGGAAAGCACUCUUCACAUCCAUUUGAUGUAGUGUAAAACCAUUGAAAGCAGCAUAAGCAAGUAAGAUGCAAAUGGAUUCAAGAUGGGCAACAGGGGCAAAGGUCUCACCAAAGUCCAAACCUUCAACUUGCGAGUACCCUUGUGCCACUAACCUUGCCUUGUUUCGGAUGAUUACACCAUUCUCAUCUUGUUUGUUCUUGAAAAUCCAUUUUGUUCCAAUGACGUUGUGUUCGGUAGGUGGCCUCUUGACUAAUGACCACACUUGGUUGCAUUCAAAACUGUUCAACUCUUCUUGCAUAGCAACUAGCCAAUCGUUGUCCAUCAAUGCAUCUUGUACCUUGAUGGGCUCAAAACUAGACACAAAAGAGAAGUGAGCACAAAAGUUGGUCAAAUGUUUACGAGUGACUCUACCUUCCGAUAUGCCGGUGAGUAUUUUGUCAACAUCAACACGACCGGCCACUCGUGGCAUGAUAGAGGUAAGGGUUUCACGAGGUUCAACUUCAUGUCCAUCAUCCACAUCCUCAAAAUAUGGAUCAUUAAUGUGUGGAGGAAGAUCUUCUUGUUCAUAUUGCAUUUGUUGAGGUUCAUCAUCAAUGGUUGGACUUUCUUGUUCUUGUUCUUGAAGAUUGUCAUGAGGAGGAACUUGAUCAUCCUCUUCAACUUGGGCUAAGGGUAUCGGUUGAGCAAUAGGGGCUUGUGGUGGUAUGAAUGUUGAAGUAGUUUGAUGAUGUGUGAGACUUCUAUCUUCUUCUUCAUCAUCAUGAGGUUCUUGUUCCAUAGGAAGAAGUGCACCAACACCCGUGGUCAAAAUGUCUUGAGAAGAAUCUUCUUCACCUACAUCACUUAGAUCAACUUGCUCCCCAUGGGAGCCAUUAAAUUCAUCAAACACCACGUCACAAGUUUCUGCAACACAUCCAUUGGAUUUGUUGUAGACUCUAUAGGCGUGAGGGUUUGAUCCAUAGCCAAUAAAUAUACCCUCAAUUGUUUUGGAUUGAAAUUUUCCUAACCUUUCUCUUUUGUUGAGGAUGAAACAUUUGCACCCAAAUACACGAAAGUACUUGACAUUUGGCUUGUUUCCAGUUAGAAGCUCAUAUGGAGUCUUUUCCAAUAUAGUGCGGAGGAAGAGCCGGUUUGAUGCAUGACAUGCGGUGUUGACAGCUUCGGCCCAAAAACUAUGUGGUGACUUGUAUUCAUCCAACAUGGACCUUGCCAUCUCCACAAGGGUGCGGUUCUUCCUUUCGGCUACACCAUUUUGCUGAGGAGUGUAUGGAGCUGAAUAUUGAUGCCCAAUCCCUUCAUCACUAAGGAAUUCUUCCAAGGUAUAGUUCUUGAACUCAGAUCCAUUGUCACUUCUUAUUGCCAAGAUUUCUUUGUCAAACUUGCGUUGUGCUUGCUUGGCAAAGUCAAUGAAAGUGAUCUUUGUCUCGUCCUUGGACUUGAGGAAAAACACCCAUGUAUAUCUUAAGUAAUCAUCAACAAUGACAAGUCCAUACUUUUUCCCACCAAGACUAUCCCAUGAAGGAGGCCCAAAGAGAUCCACAUGAAGGAGCUCCAAAGGCCUUGAAGUAGACACAAUAUUCUUGGGUGGGUGCUUUGAUUGAUGUUGCUUCCCGGCUAUACAUGCACUACACACACGAUCUUUCUCAAAAGAGACAUUUGUUAGUCCAAGGAUGUGAUUACCCUUUAAGAGAUCUUGAAGAUUCCUCAUGCCGACAUGGGCUAGCCGGCGAUGCCAUAGCCACCCCUUGUCGGCCUUGGCCAUUAGACAAGUUGCAUGGAAUGUGCUCUCUUUCGAGAAAUCAACCGUGUAAAGGUUGCCAUCCAACUCUCCAACAAAGGCCACUUCGAGAGUAUCUCUCUUAAAGACUUUCACAUCCGUUAGUCCAAAUAGUGUAUCAUAACCAACAGAAGCCAAUUGACGAACAGAAAGCAAAUGAUAUUUAAGGAAUUGGACAAGCAUGACAUUUGCAAGAGACAUCACAUUUGUGAUAGCCACCUUCCCCAACCCAAGUACCUGUCCUUUUGAUCCUCCACCAAACAUAAUGCUCAUAAAUGGUUGAAUAGCUUCCAUGAAAUCGUAGAGCAAUUUGCUAUCUCCGGUCAUAUGAUUGGUACAUCCACUAUCAAUCACCCAUUUUACUCCACCGGAGAAGGCAACCUACACACAAUUAUUACUUGGUUAGAGGCACCCAUUUUGCAAUGGUACCUCUCAAGUUAGUCACAAGUGUCUUAGGGACCCAAAUAGCAUAAAACCGAAAUGCAUUUCGAGGACCAACAAACUUUGCAUAAACUUCUCCAUCCUUAGUCUUACGAAGUACAUAGGAUGGAGGCAUGAACUCUUUUGGCUUGUUAAGAGUGGGCAUGCCCCUUGUGGCCUUCCCACUAGCAACCUUACUUUUCUCCUUGUGUCCUUCUCGUACAAAAGUUUCUUUUAAAGGGGUGGUGCACUUUUGAGAGGAUGUCUUCUUCUUGCUUGUGCUUGGGUCAAACCCGAGUCCCUUCUUGGCGAACACUUCAUUGUGUUGGCUCAACACCUCAUCAAGGUUCUUUUGCCCUUGAGCACAUGUUAUGAGCCCUUUCUCAAUUUGAGCCUUGAGAAAAUGAUUCUCCUCAAGAAUAGAUGCUAGAUCACGACUAGAGUUAGUAGAACAAGCAUCAACAUUUAUAAUAGGAGACGAUUAAGCCUUAGCUAGAGUUUCAAGAUAAGUAAGUUUGAGCGUCUCAAAACUCUUUGUAAGAAGGGUGAGCUCUUCUUCCUUAGUCUUGAGUGACACGGAUAGAAGCUCACAAUCCUUAGAGAGAGAAGCAUGAGACUUCACAAGCUUACUUUUAUCAUUCAUCAACUCUUCACAAGAGCCAAUAGCCUUUUUCAAGGAGGCAAGAUCUUUAGUAUGAACAUCAAUAUUUGCACCAAUUUUUAAGCAUAGUUCAUCAUUUCGUGUUUCCUCAUAUUGGACUUUCCGCUCAAGGUUUUCACAUUUUUCCUUUUCCUCGGUGACGAGGGUUUCGAGUUCCUUAAUGGUGAUGGCGUGCUUACUCACCAUCUCCAUAAGCAUACGAAACAUAGUGAGCUUCUUUCCUUUGAGGGAGCACAUGAACUUAUUAAGUUUAGCAAGCAUAGGAUCAUUUAGAUCAUCAUCCUCAUAACUAUCCUCCGCAUCAAGAUACUCAUCACUAGGAGUAGGAGGAGUGAAAAGAGGAGGGUUUGAUCGUGGGGUUACCUUGACCUUGUCAGGAGAGUGUUGAUCCUCUCCAUCUUCUACCACGGUCUUCGCCAUGAGGCACUUAUGAGCGUUGCCCUUGUAAUCCUUCAUGUAGUUGUAGGUGACAACUUCACCACUCUUAUUGACUAGCCUCAAUGUGUUUUGAGAAUCUUGAGCAACUCCAGCAACACCACUAACAUCAUCCGGAUCUGAUUCUUCUUGAGCAACCAUUGCUUUCCCAUCUCUCUUCUUGAGCUUGGAGUUCAAAGGAUUUGGCAAUUUCUUCUUAGGAAAGGUCUUGGGAAACCUUGGUUUAUCUUCUCUCUUCUCAUAAGGGCACUCAUUUGAGAAGUGGUUGGUUUCCUCACAGUUGUAGCAUUUUCUUACUUUCUUCUUUUGAAAUCUUCCCUUGAAUUUUCCCGCGCUAAACUUCUUGACAAAAAGAGCCAUGUCUUCAUAUGAAGGGCCCUCGUCGGAUUCAAUCUCAUCACCAUCUUCAUCAUCAUCAUCAUCAUCUUCUUCUUCUUCACUUUGCUCAUCUUCACAUACAUGCUUGGCCUUCAAUGCAAGAUUGACCUUUGAUGAUGGGGAACCAUGCAUGGCAAGAUGUUUUGUGGCAUUAGCCUUUGACUCUUCAAAUAGUUGAAAGGUGGAUAUGAUGUCACCUGUAGUCAUUUCCUUGAAGGUAUGGUGUUGUCUUAUGUCCCACACCAUUUGAUGGUGAUAUGGAGCAAGAGCAUGAAGCAAUUUAUCCACAAGGAAUCUUUUAGUCAUGUUGAAUCCAUCUUGUGUCUUGUCACACUCACAUGACUCAAUAUCGGCAGUGAGAGUCAUGAGGCGCUCAUGGAGUUGAUUGGGGGUUUUACCUUUCUCCAUACAAAAGUUUUGCAAUUGCCCCUUGGCAAUUUCAUAUUGAGCACUCCGGAGGGUAGAGGUGCCAGUCUUGGAUCGUAUAAUACUUUCCCAUAGUUCCUUGGCACUUGUGAUGUGUAUGAACGGUCUCCUUUGCUUUUCAUCCAUGCCUCUCCUUAUACACAUGAUUGCAGUGUCAUUGAGGUUCUUGUCAUAUAUUUCUCUUGGUGUGGGGUUCUUUGGAUCAACCACAUGAUAGCCAUACUCCAGGAUCUCCAGCAUCGCAUUGUUUCCAUGUCGAAGAUGAUCCUGCAUAGCAACUCUCCACAAGGCAAAAUCGGAAGUGGCACUUAGUAAAGGAGGUUUGCCUUGAGGGUUAUAUCUUGGUUUCUCAACCUGAGGUCUUGCAUAAAGCCAAGGAACACUGGCGUGUUCAUUGCUAGGAGGUUGUUGACCAAGUGAUGGAGUAGGCACAGUUGGCCUCAAGGCAGCACCACCCGAGAGUGGUGCAAGCACUGUGGACAAAGUGGCUAAUCUCAUUUGGAUCAAGGCCUUAAGAGAAGCAUCAUGCUCCUCUUUUUUCUUAGCAAGGGCCCGUUCUAGAUCCUCCGACGUAAAGGACUUGACUUCAAAGGAAGCCUCGCCUUUAUCCUUAGGAUCUACAACCAGGAGAGUCCCAUCCGGGUUCAUCUCGCUCUAGGGCGGUUAAGCCACAAGAAUAGAGCACGAGGCUCUGAUACCAAUUGAAAAGGAUCGAUAUGGACCUAGAGGGGGGGUGAAUAGGUACAAUUACAAAUUUUAUGUAUUACUUAGCAAUUUUAGGCAAUAAUGCGGAAUAUGAAGGUGAGCCUAACAAUUGCUAGUAAGUACUAAGUACAAGGCAAGUAACACAAGCAUAUAAGUGAGCAAGCACAAUAUGAUGUAAGUAAGUGCAAACAAGACAAGUAACCACAAGUAGAGAGUUAGGGUUAGGAAUAACCGCAACUCCGGGAGACAAGGAUGUAUGCCGAUGUUCACUUCCUUGGAGGGAAGCUAGUCACCGUUAGAGAGGUGGAUGUUACCACGAAGGCACACCAACGCCACGAAGGCUCACCCUAUUCUCCCUUUGAGACAACACCACGAAGGCGUUUCUCAACCACUAGUGGUAGACCUUGGGGUGGUCUCCAAACCCUCACAAACUUAUCCGAGGGUAAUCACAAAGGUCGAUUCCUCUCCGAAAGACUCCUACCGCCUAGGAGUCUCCAACCUCCAAGAGUAACAAGAUCGAUGGGGAUUUGCUCAAGACUUGCUCAAAUCACGAAUUCCUUGGGUGCAAAGAAGGAGGAGAAGUGGAUCUAUCACUUGAUCGGACAACUUCUUCCCAAAGCUCUCAAAUCCCUUGGGGAUCUAAGAUUUGGUGUGGAGGAAUGAGAGAGAGUGUGAGAAGUGUUCUAGGGUUUUUUCAAAGUGAAUGGUCAACCUCUCUAGUGGGAAAGAGAGGCAAUAUAUAUAGUGUGAGCUCAAAUAUGGCCGUUGUACUGCAAGUGAACGGGCAGGCCGGACAUCCGGGCUGGAGGCCGGACAUCCGACCUGUCAAGCCACUUGGAGAACAGGGCAGAACAGAGUAGGAACCAAAGGAGCCGGACAUCCGGGGGUCAAGCCCGGACAUCCGGCGUAAAAGGGAAGCCCGGACAUCCGGAAGAUAGUCGGACAUCCGGAGAGCCCACGAACGUUUACAGAACCACAUCAGUUUGUCGGGCAGUAAGGGGCCAAACAUCCGGAAAGGGGCCCGGACAUCCGGCAAGACAGGAAGGCCCGGAAAUCUGGCGCACACCCGGACAUCCGGCGAAAAACAGAAAACCUACUGGACAGGAAGGCCAGAUAUCCGGGGCAAGAGCCGGACAUCCGGGGGAGGACAGCGGCCCAGACAUCCGGCACUCCCAGAGACAGAAUGGAUCAAAGACCUAUAGAAAAGAGUAUUUUGACUCGAGCAAGUCUGUUACGAACCCAAUCGAUCCCCUCUUAAUAGUGGGGGAUCCUAUACUCAAGGAAACAAAAUGAAACAUCAUUUUAACACUUCAACCUUGAGAGAACCCACAUCGUAUGCUCUUGAUCCACACACAAUUUUGACGAACCGGGGACCAACACCUGAGAUUCACUUGGCAUCCAUUGUUAGUCCCCUACAUGUAGAUUGUCAUAACCAACAAAAACAUAAUGUAAGGGCAUGAUUGCACUUUCAAUCUCCCCCUUUUUGUUUGUUGAUGACAAUCAUACAUGUAGUAUCAUAGAUGUAAUAAAUAGUCUUAGCAAUGAUAAUCAUGGGAGCAAAAUGGAUACAGAAUAUGUUUAGUUACAAUUUGCUUUUAGCUCCCCCUCAUUGUGUGCAUGCGAUGAAUAUAUUAGGAUGACCAACACAACAGUUUCGAUGACAGUUAUAUUAUGAGUUUAUGCGUUUUGAUGUACCGAAGGAGUUCGGAGUCCCGGAUGAGAUCAGGACAUGAUGAGGAGUCUCAAAAUGGUCGAGACGUAAAGAUCGAUAUAUUGUACGACUAUAUUCGGACAUCGGAAGGGUUCCGAGUGACUCGGGUAUUUUCGAGGGUACCGGGAAGUUACGGGAAUACGAGGAAGAAGUAAUGGGCCUCAUGGGCCAAGUGGUGGAAGAGAGGAGGCAGGGCGCGCGGCCCCCCUAGCCCAAACCGAAUUGGACUAGGGGGCCGCCCCCCCCCUUUCCUCCUUUUCCUCCCUCUCCUUCCUUCUCCUUCUCCUUCCCUUCCUUCCCCUCUCCUACUUGGACUUGGAAAGAGGGGGGAAUCCUACUUGGAGAAGGAUUGCCCCCCUUGGGCGCGCCUCCUCCCCUUGGCCGACCCUCUCCUCCUCCCCCCUUUAUAUACAGAGGAGGGGGGCACCUCUAGACACAACAACAAUUGAUCAUUGAUCUCUUAGCCGUGUGCGGUGCCCCCUCCACCAAAGUCCUCGAUAAUAUUGUAGCGGUGCUUAGGCGAAGCCCUGCGACGGUAGAACAUCAAGAUCGUCACCACGCCGUCGUGCUGACGGAACUCUUCCCCGACACUCUGCUGGAUCGGGGUCCGGGGAUCGUCAUCGAGCUGAACGUGUGCUAGAACUCGGAGGUGCCGUAGUUUCGGUGCUUGAUCGGUCGGGCCGUGAAGACGUACGACUACAUCAACCGCGUUGUUCUAACGCUUCCGCUUUUGGUCUACGAGGGUACGUAGACAACACUCUCCCCUCUCGUUGCUAUGCAUCACCAUGAUCUUGCGUGUGCGUAGGAAUUUUUUUGAAAUUACUACGUUCCCCAACAGUGGCAUCCAAGCCAGGUUUUAUGCGUAGAUGUCAUACGCACGAGUAGAACACAAGUGAGUUGUGGGUGAUAUAAGUCAUACUGCUUACCAACAUGUCAUACUUUGGUUCAGCGGCAUUGUGAGAUGAAGCGGCCCGAACCGGCAUUACGCGUACGCUUACGCGAGACUGGUUUCACCGCUACGAGCACUCGUUGCUUAAAGGUGACCGGCGGGUGUCUGUCUCUCUCACUUUAGUUGAACCGAGUGUGGCUACGCCCGGUCCUUGCGAAGGUUAAAACAACACCAACGUGACAAACUAUCGUUGUGGUUUUGAUGCGUAGGAAAGAACGGUUCUUGCUAAGCCCGUAGCAGCCACGUAAAAUUUGCAACAACAAAGUAGAGGACAUCUAACUUGUUUUUGCAGGGCAUGUUGUGAUAUGAUAUGGUCAAGACGUGAUGCUAUAUUUUAUUGUAUGAGAUGAUCAUGUUUUGUAACCGAGUUAUCGGCAACUGGCAGGAGCCAUAUGGUUGUCGCUUUAUUGUAUGAAAUGCAAACGCCCUGUAAUUGCUUUACUUUAUCACUAAGCGGUAGUGAUAGUCAUAGAAGCAAUUGAUGGCGUAACGACAACGAUGCUACGAUGGAGAUCAAGGUGUCGCGCUGGUGAUGAUGGUGAUCGCGCCGGUGCUUCGGAGAUGGAGAUCACAAGCACAAGAUGAUGAUGGCCAUAUCAUAUCACUUAUAUUGAUUGCAUGUGAUGUUUAUCAUUUAUGCAUCUUAUCUUGCUUUGAUUGAUGGUAGCAUUUUAAGAUGAUCUCUCACUAAUUAUCAAGAAGUGUUCUGCCUGAGUAUGCACCGUUGUGAAAGUUCUUCGUGCUGAGACACCAUGUGAUGAUCGGGUGUGAUAGGCUCUACGUUCAAAUACAACGGGUGCAAAACAGUUGCACACGCGGAAUAAUCAGGUUAAACUUGACGAGCCUAGCAUAUACGGAUAUGGCCUCGGAACACGGAGACCGAAAGGUCGAACGUGAAUCAUAUAGUAGAUAUGAUCAACAUAGUGAUGUUCACCAUUGAAAACUAAUCCAUCUCACGUGAUGAUCGGACAUGGUUUAGUUGAUUUGGAUCACGUGAUCACUUAGAUGACUAGAGAGAUGUCUAUCUAAGUGGGAGUUCUUAAGUAAUAUGAUUAAUUGAACUUUAAUUUAUCAUGAACUUAGUCCUGAUAGUAUUUUGCAAAUUAUGUUGUAGAUCAAUAGCUCGCGAUGUUGCUUUCAUAUGUUUAUUUUGAUAUGUUCCUAGAGAAAAAUUGUGUUGAAAGAUGUUAGUAGCAAUGAUGCGGAUUGGAUCCGUGAUCUGAGGUUUAUCCUCAUUGCUGCACAGAAGAAUUAUGUCCUUAAUGCACCGCUAGGUGAUAGACCUAUUGCAGGAGCAGAUGCAGACGUUAUGAACAUUUGGCUAGCUCAAUAUGAUGACUACUUGAUAGUUUAGUGCACCAUGCUUAACGGCUUAGAAUCGGGACUUCAAAGACGUUUUGAACGUCAUGGACCAUAUGAGAUGUUCCAGGAGUUGAAGUUAAUAUUUCAAGCAAAUACCCGAAUUGAGAGAUAUGAAGUCUCCAACAAGUUCUAUAGCUAAAAGAUGGAGGAGAAUUGCUCAACUAGUGAGCAUGUGCUCAGAUUGUCUGGGUACUACAAUCGCUUGAAUCAAGUGGGAGUUAAUCUUCCAGAUAAGAUAGUGAUUGACAGAGUUCUCUAGUCACCAUCACCAAGUUACUAGAACUUCGUGAUGAACUAUAGUAUGCAAGGGAUGACGAAAAUGAUUCCCGAGCUCUUCGUGAUGCUGAAAUCAACGAAGGUAGAAAUCAAGAAAGAGCAUCAAGUGUUGAUGAUUGACAAGACCACUAAUUUCAAGAAUAGGGCAAAGGGAAAGAAAGGGAACUUCAUAUAGAAUGGCAAGCAAGUUGUCACUCCCGUGAAGAAGCCCAAAGCUGGACCAAAGCCUGAAACUGAGUGCUUCUACUGCAAAGGAAAUGGUCACUGGAAGCGGAAAUGCUCUGAAUAUUUGGUAGAUAAGAAGGAUGGCAAAGUGAACAAGGGUAUAUUUGAUAUACAGGUUAUUGAUGUGUACCUUACUAGUGUUUAUAGUAGCCCCUGAGUAUUUGAUACUUGCUCGGUUGCUAAUAAUUAGUAACUCGAAAUAGGAGUUAAAUAAACAGAGACUAGUUGAGGGUGAAGUGACGAUGAGUGUUGGAAGUAGUUCCAAGAUUGAUAUGAUCAUCAUCGCACACUCCCUAUACUUUCGGGAUUAGUGUUAAACCUAAAUAAAUGUUAUUUGGCGUUUGCGUUGAGCGUGAAUAUGAUUUGAUCAUGUUUAUUGCAAUACGGUUAUUCAUUUAAAGUCAGAGAAUAAUUGUUGUUCUGUUUACAUGAAUAAAACCUUCAAUGGUCAUACACCCAAUAAAAAUAGUUUGUUGGAUCUCGAUCGUAGUGAUACACAUAUUCAUAAUAUUGAUGCCAAAAGAUGCAAAAGUUAAUAAUGAUAGUGCAACUUAUUUGUGGCACUGCCGUUUGGGUCAUAUCGGUGGAAAGCGCAUGAAGAAACUCCAUAAAGAUGGAUUUUCGGAAUCACUUGGUUAUGAAUCAUUUGAUGCUUGCGAACCGUACCUUUUGGGCAAGAUUACUAAAACUCCGUUCUCCGGAACAAUGGAACGAGCUACUGACUUGUUGGAAAUAAUACAUACCGACGUAUGCAGUCCAAUGAGUGUUGAUACUCGUGGCGGGUAUCGUUAUUUUCUGAUCUUCACAGAUGAUUUGAGCAGAUAUGAGUAUAUCUACUUAAUGAAGCACAAGUCUGAAACAUUUGAAAAGUUCAAAGAAUUUCAGAAUGAAGUGGAGAAUCAUCGUAACAAGAAAAUAAAAGUUUCUACGAUCUGAUCGUGGAGAAGAAUAUUUGAGUUACGAGUUUGGCCUUCAUUUUAAACAAUGUGGAAUAGUUUCACACCUCACGCCACAUGGAACACCACAGCGUAAUGGUGUGUCCGAACGUCGUAACCGCACUUUAUUGGAUAUGGUGCGAUCUACGAUGUAUCUUAUCGAUUUACCACUAUCGUUUUUGGGGUUAUGCAUUAGAAAUAGCUGCAUUCACUUUAAAUAGGGCACCAUCUAAAUUCGUUGAGACGACACCAUAUGAACUAUGGUUUAGGAGUAAACCUAAGCUGUUGUUUCUUAAAGUUUGGAGUUACGAUGCUUAUGUGAAAAAGGUUUCAACCAGAUAAGCUCGAACCCAAAUCGGAGAAAUGUGUCUUCAUAGGAUACCCAAAAGGGACUAUUGGGUACACCUUCUAUCAUAGAUAUGAGGGCAAGACUUUUGUUGCUAAAUUCGGAUCCUUUCUAGAGAAGGAGUUUCUCUCGAAAGAAGUGAGUGGGAGGAAAGUAGAACUUGAUGAGGCAACUGUACCUGCUCCCUUAUUGGAAAGUAGUUCAUCACAAGAACUGGUUCCUGUGACAACUACACCAAUCAGUGAGGAAGCUAAUGAUAUUGAUCAUGAAACUUCAGAUCAAGUUACUACCGAACCUCGUAGGUCAACCAGAGUAAGAUCCGCACCAGAGUGGUAUGGUAAUCCUACUCUGGAAGUCAUGUUACUUGACCAUGGCGAACCUACGAACCAUGAGGAAGCGAUGAUGAGCCCAGAUUCCGCGAAAUGGCUUGAAGGCCAUGAAAUCUGAGAUGGGAUCCAUAUAUGAGAACAAAGUGUGGACUUUGAUUGACUUGCCCGAUGAUCGGCAAGCCAUAGAAAAUAAAUGAAUCUUCAGGAGGAAGACGGACAUUGAUAAUAGUGUUAUUAUCUACAAAGCUAGAUUUGUCGAAAAAGGUUUUUGACAAAGUUCAAGAUGUUGACUACGAUGAGUUUUUUUCUCACUCGUAUCGAUGCUUAAAGUUUGUCCGAAUCAUGUUAGCAAUUGCCACAUUUUAUGAAAUCUGGCAAAAGGAUGUCAAAACUGCAUUCUUUAAUGGAUUUAGAGUUGUAUAUGAUGCAACCAGAAGGUUUUGUCAAUCCUAAAGGUGCUAACAAAUUGUGCAAGCUCCGGCAAUCCAUCUAUGGACUGGUGCAAGCAUCUCGGAGUUGGAAUAUAUGCUUUGAUGAGUUGAUCAAAGCAUAUAGUUUUAUACAGACUUGCGGUGAAGCCUGUAUUUACAAUAAAGUGAGUGGGAGCACUACCGCCUUUCUGAUAAAUAUAUGUGAGUAACAUAUUGUUGAUCAGAAAUGAUGUAGAAUUUUUCUGGAAAGCAUAAAGGAGUAUUUGAAAGGAGUUCUUUAAAAGAAAGACCUCAGUAAAGCUACUUACAUAUUGAGCAUCAAGAUCUAUUGAGAUAGAUCAAGACGCUUGAUAAGUUUUUCAAUAAGUACAUACCUUGUCAAGUUUUUGAAGUAGUUCAAAAUGGAACAGUCAAAGAAAGAGUUCUUGCCUGUGUUGCAAUGGUAUGAAAUUGAGUAAGACUCAAAUCCCGAGCACGGCAAAAAAUAGAAAAGAGAAUGAAAGUCAUUCCCUAUGCCUCAAUCAUAGGUUCUAUAAAGUAUGCUAUGCUAUGUACCAGACCUAUUGUAUACCUUGCUGUGUAUUUGGCAAGGGAGUACAAUAGUGAUCUAGGAGUAGAUCACUGGACAUUGGUCAAGAAUAUCCUUAGUAAGGACUAAGAAAAUAUUUCUCGAUUAUGGAGGUGAUAAAAGAGCCCGUCGUAAAGAGUUACAUCGGUGCAAGCUUUUACACCGAUCCAGAUGACUCUAAGUCUCAAUCUGGAAGUGGGAGCAAUUAGCUAGAGUAGCUCCGUGCAGAGCAUUGUAGACAUAGAAUAUUUGCAAAAUACAUAUGGCUCUCAAUGUGACAGACCCGUUGACUAAGCUUCUCUCACGAGCAAAACAUGAUCACACCUCAGUACUCUUUGGGUGUUAAUCACAUAGCAAUGUGAACUAGAUUAUUGACUCUAGUAAACCCGUUGGGUGUUGGUCACAUGACGAUGUGAACUAUGGGUGUUAAUCAUAUACAGAUAUGAAUAUUGGUGUUAAAUCACAUGGCGAUGUGAACUAGAUUAUUGACUCUAGUGCAAGUGGGAGACUGAAGGAAAUAUGCCCUAGAGGCAAUAAAGUUAUUAUUUAUUUCCUUAUUUCAUGAUAAAUGUUUAUUAUUCAUGCUAGAAUUGUAUUAACCGGAAACAUAAUACAUGUGUGAAUACAUAGAUAAACUUAAUGUCACUAGUAUGCCUCUACUUGACUAGCUCAUUAAUCAAAGAUGGUUAUGUUUCCUAACCAUAGACAUGAGUUGUCAUUUGAUUAACGGGAUCACAUCAUUAGUAGAAUGAUGUGAUUGACAUGACCCAUUUCGUUAGCUUAGCACUUGAUCGUUUAGUAUGUUGCUAUUGCUUUCUUCAUGACUUAUACAUGUUCCUACAACUAUGAGAUUAUGCAACUCCCGUUUACCGAAGGAACACUUUGUGUGCUACCAAACGUCACAACGUAACUGGGUGAUUAUAAAGGAGCUCUACAGGUGUCUCCGAAGGUACAUGUUGGGUUGGCGUAUUUCGAGAUUAGGAUUUGUCACUCCGAUUGUCAGAGAGGUAUCUCUGGGCCCUCUCGGUAAUGCACAUCACUAUAAGCCUUGCAAGCAAUGUAACUAAUGAGUUAGUUACGAAAUGAUGCAUUACAUAACGAGUAAAGAGACUUGCCGGUAACGAGAUUGAACUAGGUAUUGAGAUACCGACGAUCGAAUCUCGGGCAAGUAACAUACCGAUGACAAAGGGAACAACGUAUGUUGUUAUGCGGUUUGACCGAUAAAGAUCUUCGUAGAAUAUGGAGGAGCCAAUAUGAGCAUCCAGGUUCCGCUAUUGGUUAUUGACCGGAAACGUGUCUCGGUCAUGUCUACAUAGUUCUCGAACCCGUAGGGUCCGCACGCUUAACGUUUCGAUGACAGUUAUAUUAUGAAUUUAUGAGUUAUGAUGUACCGAAGGAGUUCGGAGUCCCAGAUGAUAUCGGGGACAUGACGAGGAGUCUCUAAAUGGUCGAGACGUAAAGAUCAAUAUAUUGGACGACUAUAUUCGGACAUCGGAAGGGUUUCAAGUGAUUCGGGUAUUUUCGGGGGUACCGGGGAGUUACGGGAAUACGAGGAAGAAGCAAUGGGCCUCAUGGGCCAAGUGGUGGAAGAGAGGAGGCAGGGCGCGCGGCCCCCCUAGCCCAAACCGAAUUGGACUAGGGGGCCGGCCCCCCUUUCCUCCUUUUCCUCCCUCUCCUUCCUUCUCCUUCUCCUUCCCUUCCUUCCCCUCUCCUACUUGGACUAGGAAAGAGGGGGGAAAUCCUACUUGGAGUAGGAUUGCCCCCCUUGGGCGCGCCUCCUCCCCUUGGUCGGCCCUCUCCUCCUUCCCCCCUCCCUUUAUAUACGGAGGAGGGGGGCACCUCUAGACACAACAACAAUUGAUCAUUGAUCUCUUAGCCGUGCGCGGUGCCCCCCUCCACCAAAGUCCUCGAUAAUAUUGUAGCGGUGCUUAGGCGAAGCCCUGCGACGGUACAACAUCAAGAUCGUCACCACGCCGUCGUGCUGACGGAACUCUUCCCCGACACUCUGUGUUGGAAAUAUGCCCUAGAGGCAAUAAUAAAUUGAUUAUUAUUAUAUUUUCUUGUUCAUGAUAAUCGUUUAUUAUCCAUGCUAGAAUUGUAUUGAUAGGAAACUCAGAUACAUGUGUGGAUACAUAGACAACACCAUGUCCCUAGUAAGCCUCUAGUUGACUAGCUCGUUAAUCAAUAGAUGGUUACGGUUUCCUGACCAUGGACAUUGGAUGUCGUUGAUAACGGGAUCACAUCAUUAGGAGAAUGAUGUGAUGGACAAGACCCAAUCCUAAGCCUAGCACAAGAUCAUGUAGUUCGUAUGCUAAAGCUUUUCUAAUGUCAAGUAUCAUUUCCUUAGACCAUGAGAUUGUGCAACUCCCGGAUACCGUAGGAGUGCUUUGGGUGUGCCAAACGUCACAACGUAACUGGGUGGCUAUAAAGGUACACUACGGGUAUCUCUGAAAGUGUCUGUUGGGUUGGCACGAAUCGAGAUUGGGAUUUUAUCACUCCGUGUAAACGGAGAGGUAUCUCUGGGCCCACUCGGUAGGACAUCAUCAUAAUGUGCACAAUGUGACCAAGGGGUUGAUCACGGGAUGAUGUGUUACGGAACGAGUAAAGAGACUUGCCGGUAACGAGAUUGAACAAGGUAUCGGUAUACCGACGAUCGAAUCUCGGGCAAGUACCAUACCGCUAGACAAAGGGAAUUGUAUACGGGAUUGAUUGAGUCCUUGACAUCGUGGUUCAUCCGAUGAGAUCAUCGUGGAACAUGUGGGAGCCAACAUGGGUAUCCAGAUCCCGCUGUUGGUUAUUGACCGGAGAACAUCUCGGUCAUGACUACAUGUCUCCCGAACCCGUAGGGUCUACACACUUAAGGUUCGAUGACGCUAGGGUUAUAAAGGAAGUUUGUAUGUGGUUACCGAAUGUUGCCCGGAGUCCCGGAUGAGAUCCCGGACGUCACGAGGAGUUCCGGAAUGGUCCGGAGGUAAAGAUUUAUAUAUAGGAAGUCCUGUUUCGGCCAUCGGGACAAGUUUCGGGGUCAUCGGUAUUGUACCGGGACCACCGGAAGGGUCCCGGGGGCCCACCGGGUGGGGCCACCUGCCCCGGGGGGCCACAUGGGCUGUAGGGGGUGCGCCUUGGCCUACAUGGGCCAAGGGCACCAGCCCCUAGAGGCCCAUGCGCCAAGAUAUAGGAAAAAGGGGAGAGUCCUAAAGGGGGAAGGCACCUCCGAGGUGCCUUGGGGAGGAUGGACUCCUCCCCCCCCUCUUAGCCGCACCCCUUUCUUGGAGGAAGGGGCAAGGCUGCGCCUCCCCCCUCUCCCCUGCCCCUAUAUAUAGUGGAGGGGAGGGAGGGCAUCCAUACCUGAGCCCUUGGCGCCUCCCUCCCUCCCGUGACACCUCCUCCUCUCCCGUAGAUGCUUGGCGAAGCCCUGCAGGAUUGCCACGCUCCUCCAUCACCACCACGCCGUUGUGCUGCUGCUAGAUGGAGUCUUCCUCAACCUCUCCCACUCUCCUUGCUGGAUCAAGGCAUGGGAGACGUCACCGGGCUGUAUGUGUGUUGAACGCGGAGGUGCCGUCCAUUCGGCACUAGGAUCUCCGGUGAUUUGGAUCACGACGAGUACGACUCCUUCAACCCCGUUCUCUUGAACGCUUCCGCUUAGCGAUCUACAAGGGUAUGUAGAUGCACUCUCCUUCCCCUCGUUGCUAGUCUCUCCAUAGAUAGAUCUUGGUGUUACGUAGGAAAAUUUUGAAUUUCUGCUACGUUCCCCAACAGUGGCAUCAUGAGCUAGGUCUAUUGCGUAGAUUCUUUGCACGAGUAGAACACAAAGUAGUUGUGGGCGUCGAUAUUGUUCAAUAUGCUUGCCGUUACUAGUCUUAUCUUGAUUCGGCGGCAUCGUGGGAUGAAGCGGCCCGGACCAACCUUACACGUACGCUUACGUGAGACCGGUUCCACCGAAAAACAUGCACUAGUUGCAUAAGGUGGCUGGCGGGUGUCUGUCUCUCCCACUUUAGUCGGAUCGGAUUCGAUGAAAAGGGUCCUUAUGAAGGGUAAAUAGCAAUUGGCAUAUCACGUUGUGGUUCAUGCGUAGGUAAGAAACGUUCUUGCUAGAAACCCAUAGCAGCCACGUAAAACAUGCAAACAACAAUUAGAGGACGUCUAACUUGUUUUUGCAGGGUAUGCUAUGUGAUGUGAUAUGGCCAAAAAGGAUGUGAUGAAUGAUAUAUGUGAUGUAUGAGAUUGAUCAUGUUCUUGUAAUAGGAAUCACGACUUGCAUGUCGAUGAGUAUGACAACCGGCAGGAGCCAUAGGAGUUGUCUUUAUUUAUUUGUGACCUGCGUGUCAACUUAAACGUCAUGUAAUUACUUUACUUUAUUGCUAACCGUUAGCCAUAGUAGUAGAAGUAAUAGUUGGCGAGGCAACUUCAUGAAGACACGAUGAUGGAGAUCAUGAUGAUGGAGAUCAUGGUGUCAUGCCGGUGACGAUGAUGAUCAUGGAGCCCCGAAGAUGGAGAUCAAAAGGAGCAAAGAGAUGAUGGCCAUAUCAUGUCACUAUUUGAUUGCAUGUGAUGUUUAUCAUGUUUAUACAUCUUAUUUGCUUAGAACGAUGGUAGUAAAUAAGAUGAUCCCUUACAACAAUUUCAAGAAGUGUUCUCCCCUAACUGUGCACCGUUGCGACAGUUCGUGUUUCGAAGCACCACGUGAUGAUCGGGUGUUAGAUUCUAACGUUCACAUACAACGGGUGUAAGACAGAUUUACACACGCGAAACACUUAGGGUUAACUUGACGAGCCUAGCAUGUACAGACAUGGCCUCGGAACACGGAGACCGAAAGGUCGAACAUGAGUCGUAUAGAAGAUACGAUCAACAUGAAGAUGUUCACCGAUGAUGACUAGUCCGUCUCACGUGAUGAUCGGACACGGCCUAGUUUGACUCGGAUCAUGUAAUCACUUAGAUGACUAGAGGGAUGUCUAUCUGAGUGGGAGUUCAUAAGAUGAACUUAAUUAUCCUGAACAUAAUCAAAAGGUUUUUGCAAAUUAUGUCGUAGCUCACGCUAUAGUUCUACUGUUUAGAUAUGUUCCUAGAGAAAAAUUAGUUGAAAGUUGAUAGUAGCAAUUAUGCGGACUAGGUCCGUAAACUGAGGAUUGUCCUCAUUGCUUCAUAGAAGGCUUAUGUCCUUAAUGCACCGCUCAGUGUGCUGAACCUCGAACGUUGUCUGUGGUUGUUGCGAACAUCUGACAUACACGUUUUGAUAACUACGUGAUAGUUCAGUUAAACGGUUUAGAGUUGAGGCACCAAAGACGUUUUUGAAACAUCGCGAAACAUAUGAGAUGUUUUGAGGGCUGAAAUUGGGAUUUCAGGCUCGUGCCCAUGUCAAGAGGUAUAAGACCUCCGAUGACUUUCUUAACCUGCAAACUAAGGAGAAAAGCUCAAUUGUUGAGCUUAUGCUCAGAUUGUCUGAGUACAACAAUCAUUUGAAUCGAGUGGGAGUUGAUCUUCUAGAUAAGACAGUGAUGGUUCUCCAAAGUCAUUGCCACCAAGCUGUUAGAGCUUCGUGAUGAACUAUAACAUAUCAGGGAUAGAUAUGAUGAUCCUUGAGGUAUUCGCGAUGUUUGACACCGCGAAAGUAGAAAUCAAGAAGGAGCAUCAAUUGUUGAUGGUUGGUGAAACCACUAGUUUCAAGAAGGGCAAGGGCAAGAAGGGAUACUUCAUGAAACGGCAAAUCAGCUGCUGCUCUAGUGAAGAAACCCAAGGUAAAACCCAAACCCGAGACUAAGUGCUUCUGUAAUAAGGGGAACAACCACUAGAGCAGAAUUACCCUAGAUACUUGGUAGAUAAGAAGGCUGGCAAGGUCGAUAGAAGUAUAUUGGAUAUACAUUGUGUUAAUGUGUACUUUGCUAGUAGCACCAGGGUAUUAGAUACCGGUUCGGUUGCUAAGUGUUAGUAACUCGAAACAAAAGGCUACGGAAUAAACGGAGACUAGCUAAAGGUGAGCUGACGAUAUGUGUUGGAAGUUUUUCCAAGCUUGAUAUGAUCAAGCAUCGCACGCUCCCUCUACCAAAGAGAUUAGGUGUUAAACCUAAAUAAUUGUUAUUUGGUGUUUGCGUUGAGCAUAGACAUGAUUGGAUUAUGUCUAUCACAAUACGGUUAUUCAUUUAAGGAGAAUAAUGGUUACUCUGUUUAUUUGAAUAAUACCUUCAAUGGUCUUACACCUAAAAUGAAUGGUUUAUUAAAUCUCGAUCGUAGUGAUACACAUGUUCAUGCCAAAAGAUAGUAAUGAUAGUACCACCUACUUGUGGCACUGCCACGUAAGUCAUAUCGGUAUAAAACGCAUGAAGAAGCUCCAUAUUGAUGGAUCUUUGGGCUCACUCGUUUUUGAAAAGUUUGAGACAUGCGAACCAUGUCUAUUGGUGUAUAUGCAUGAAGAAACUCCAUGCAAAUGGACCGUUUUGACUCACUUGAUUUUGAAUCACUUGGGACAUGCAAAUCAUACCACAUGGGCAAGAUGACUGAAAAGCCUCGUUUUCAGUAAGAUGGAACAAGAUAGCAACUUGUUGGAAGUAACACAUUUUGAUGUGUGCAGUCCAAUGAGUGCUGAGGCAUGCAGUGAAUAUCGUUAUGUUCUUACUUCAUAGAUGAUUUGAGUAGAUGUUGAGUAUAUUUACUUGAUGAAUCACGAGUCUGAAUUAUUGAAAGGUUCAAGUAAUUUCAGUGAAGUAGAAGAUCAUUGUGACAAGAGGAUAAAAUGUCUAUGAUACGAUCAUAGAGAUGAAUAUCUGAGUUACGAGUUUUGGCACACAAUUAAGACAUUGUGGAAAUUGUUUCGCAAUUAAUACCGCCUGGAACACCAUAGUGUGAUGGUGUGUCCGAACAUCAUAGUUGCACCCUAUUGGAUAUGGUGCGUACCAUGAUGUCUCUUAUCGAAUUACCACUAUCGUUCAUGGGUUAGGCAUUAGAGACAACCACAUUCACUUUAAAUAGGGCACCACGUAAUUCCGUUGAGAUGACACCGUAUGAAUUAUGGUUUAGAGAAACCUAAGUUGUCGUUUCUUAAAGGUUUGGGGCUGCGACGCUUAUGUGGAAAAGUUUCAGGAUUGAUAAGCUCGAACCCAAAGCGGAUAAAAUGCAUCUUCAUAGGACACCCAAAACAGUUGGGUAUACCUCCUGUCUCAGAUCCGAAAGCAAUAUGAAUUGUUUCUAGAAUCGGGUCCUUUCUCGAGGAAAGGUUUCUCUCAAAAAGUUGAGUGGGAGGAUGGUGGAGACUUGAUGAGGUUAUUGAACCGUCACUUCAACAAGUGUGUAGCAGGGCACAGGAAGUUGUUCCUGUGGCACGUACACCAACUGAAGUGGAAGCUUAUGAUAGUGAUCAUGAAACUUCGGAUCGAGUCACUACCAAACCUCGUGGGAUGACAAGGAUGCGUACUACUUCAGAGUGGUACAAAAUCCUGUCUUGGAAGUCAUGUUGCUAGACAACAAUGAACCUACGAGCUAUGGAGAAGCGAUGGUGGGCCCGGAUUCCGAUAAAUGGCUCAAGGCCAUAAAACCCGAGAGAGGAUCCAUGUAUGAAAACAAAGUGUAGACUUCGGAAGAACUACUUGAUGGUCGUAAGGCUGUUAGGUACAUAUGGAUUUUGAAAGGAAGACAGACAAUGAUGGUAAGUGUCACCAUUGAGAAAACUCGACUUGUCGUUAAGAUGUUUUUCGACAAGUUCAAGGAGUUGACUACGAUGAGACUUUCUCACUCGUAGCGAUGCUAAGAGUCUAUUGGAAUUAUAUUAGCAAUUACUGCAUUAUUUAUGAAAUCUUGCAGAUAGGAUGUCAAAACAUUGUUUCCUCGACGAUUCUUGAGGAAAGGUUGUAUGUGAUACAACCGGAAGGUUUUGUCUAUCCUGAAAUAUGCUAAUAAGUAUGCAAAGCUCCAGCAAUCCUUCUAAGGACUGGAGUGAGCAUCUCGGAGUUGGAAUGUAUGCUUUGAUGAUGAUCAAAGAUUUUGGGUGUAUACAAAGUUUAUGAGAAACUUGUAUUUCCAAAGAAGUGAGUGGGAGCACUAUAGAAUUUCUGAUAAAUAUAUGUUGACAUAUUGUUGAUCAGAAAUGACGUAGAAUUUCUGGAAAGUAUAUAGGGUUAUUUGUAAAGUGUUUUUCAAUGGAAAGCCUGGAUUAAGCUACUUGAACAUUGAGCAUCAAGAUCUAUAAGGAUAGAUCAAAACGCUUAAUGGUACUUUCAAAUGAGCACAUACCUUGACAUGAUCUUGAAGGUGUUCAAGAUGGAUCAGUCAAAGAAGGAGUUCUUGCCUGAGUUGUAAGGUAUGAAGUUAAGACUUAAAGCUCGACCACGGCAGAAUAGAGAGAAAGGACGAAGGUCGUCCCCUAUGCUUAAGACAUAGGCUCUACAGUAUGCUAUGCUGUGUACCGCACCUGAAGUGUGCCUUGCCAUGAGUCAGUCAAGGGGUACAAAAGUGAUCCAAGAAUGGAUCACAGGACAGCGGUCAAAGUUAUCCUUAGUAACUAGUGGACUAAGGAAUUUUCUCGAUUAUGGAGGUGGUAAAAGAGUUCGUCGUAAAGGGUUACGCCGAUGCAAGCUUCGACACUAAUCCAGAUUAUUCUGAGUAGUAAACUGGAUUCGUACAGUAGAAUAGAUAUUUGGAAUAGCUCCAAAUAGAGCAUGGUAGCUACAUCUAGGAGAUGACAUAGAGAUUUGUAAAGAACACACGGAUCUGAAAGGUUCAGACCCGUUGACUAAAACCUCUCUCACAAGCAACAUGAUCAAACCUAAAACUCAUUGAGUAUUAAUCACAUAGUGAUGUGAACUAGACUACUGAUUCUAGUAAACUCUUGGGUGUUAGUCACAUGGCGAUGUGACCUGUGAGUGUUAAUCACAUGGUGAUGUGAACUAGAUUAUUGACUCUAGUGCAAGUGGGAGACUGUUGGAAAUAUGCCCUAGAGGCAAUAAUAAAUUGAUUAUUAUUAUAUUUCCUUGUUCAUGAUAAUCGUUUAUUAUCCAUGCUAGAAUUGUAUUGAUAGGAAACUCAGAUACAUGUGUGGAUACAUAGACAACACCAUGUCCCUAGUAAGCCUCUAGUUGACUAGCUCGUUAAUCAAUAGAUGGUUACGGUUUCCUGACCAUGGACAUUGGAUGUCGUUGAUAACGGGAUCACAUCAUUAGGAGAAUGAUGUGAUGGACAAGACCCAAUCCUAAGCCUAGCACAAGAUCAUGUAGUUCGUAUGCUAAAGCUUUUCUAAUGUCAAGUAUCAUUUCCUUAGACCAUGAGAUUGUGCAACUCCCGGAUACCGUAGGAGUGCUUUGGGUGUGCCAAACGUCACAACAUAACUGGGUGGCUAUAAAGUACACUACGGGUAUCUCUGAAAGUGUCUGUUGGGUUGGCACGAAUCGAGAUUGGGAUUUUGUCACUCCGUGUAAACGGAGAGGUAUCUCUGGGCCCACUCGGUAGGACAUCAUCAUAAUGUGCACAAUGUGACCAAGGGGUUGAUCACGGAAUGAUGUGUUACGGAACGAGUAAAGAGACUUGCCGGUAACGAGAUUGAACAAGGUAUCGGUAUACCGACGAUCGAAUCUCGGGCAAGUACCAUACCGCUAGACAAAGGGAAUUGUAUACGGGAUUGAUUGAGUCCUUGACAUCGUGGUUCAUCCGAUGAGAUCAUCGUGGAACAUGUGGGAGCCAACAUGGGUAUCCAGAUCCCGCUGUUGGUUAUUGACCGGAGAACAUCUCGGUCAUGACUACAUGUCUCCCGAACCCGUAGGGUCUACACACUUAAGGUUCGAUGACGCUAGGGUUAUAAAGGAAGUUUGUAUGUGGUUACCGAAUGUUGCUCGGAGUCCCGGAUGAGAUCCCGGACGUCACGAGGAGUUCCGGAAUGGUCCGGAGGUAAAGAUUUAUAUAUAGGAAGUCCUGUUUCGGCCAUCGGGACAAGUUUCGGGGUCAUCGGUAUUGUACCGGGACCACCGGAAGGGUCCCGGGGACCCACCGGGUGGGGCCACCUGCCCCGGGGGGCCACAUGGGCUGUAGGGGGUGCGCCUUGGCCUACAUGGGCCAAGGGCACCAGCCCCUAGAGGCCCAUGCGCCAAGAUAUAGGAAAAAGGGGAGAGUCCUAAAGGGGGAAGGCACCUCUGAGGUGCCUUGGGGAGGAUGGACUCCUCCCCCCCCCUCUUAGCCGCACCCCUUUCUUGGAGGAAGGGGCAAGGCUGCGCCUCCCCCCUCUCCCCUGCCCCUAUAUAUAGUGGAGGGGAGGGAGGGCAUCCAUACCUGAGCCCUUGGCGCCUCCCUCCCUCCCGUGACACCUCCUCCUCUCCCGUAGAUGCUUGGCGAAGCCCUGCAGGAUUGCCACGCUCCUCCAUCACCACCACGCCGUUGUGAUGCUGCUAGAUGGAGUCUUCCUCAACCUCUCCCACUCUCCUUGCUGGAUCAAGGCAUGGGAGACGUCACCGGGCUGUAUGUGUGUUGAACGCGGAGGUGCCGUCCAUUCGGCACUAGGAUCUCCGGUGAUUUGGAUCACGACGAGUACGACUCCUUCAACCCCGUUCUCUUGAACGCUUCCGCUUAGCGAUCUACAAGGGUAUGUAGAUGCACUCUCCUUCCCCUCGUUGCUAGUCUCUCCAUAGAUAGAUCUUGGUGUUACGUAGGAAAAUUUUGAAUUUCUGCUACGUUCCCCAACACUCUGCUGGAUCGGAGUCCGGGGAUUGUCAUCGAGCUGAACGUGUGCUAGAACUCGGAGGUGCCGUAGUUUCGGUGCUUGAUCGGUCGAGCCGUGAAGACGUACGACUACAUCAACCACGUUGUUCUAACGCUUCCGCUUUCGGUCUACGAGGGUACGUAGACAACACUCUCCCCUCUCGUUGCUAUGCAUCACCAUGAUCUUGCGUGUGCGUAGGAAUUUUUUUGAAAUUACUAUGUUCCCCAACACGUAGGGCGUGCCGUCCAAGCUUGUGGGCCCUCGGGACUCCAUCCGGCGUGAAUCCAACGCAAAAAAUCCUAUAAAUAUAUAAACACUCGAAAAGUAACAUAGAACUUCUCCGCCGUUGUUGCAAGCCUCUGUACCAAAGUGAUCUCAUCUGGAGCCUUUUUACGGCGCCCUGCCGAAUGGAGAAGCCAUCACGGAGGCCAUAUUCAUCAUCCUUGCUGCCUCCAUGGUGAUGCCUGAGUAGUUCAUCCUCGGGGUUGAGGGUUUGUACCAGUAGCUAUGUGUUUGAUCCUCUCUCUCUCUCUCUCCCUCUCUCUCUCUCCCUCUCCCUCUCUCUCUCUCUCUCCCUCCCUCCCUCUCUCUCUCUCUCUCUCCCUCCCUCUCUCUCUCUCUCUCUGUCUCUCUCUCUCGUGUUCUUGAUUUGACAUGAUCUUAAAGUAUCAUGAGUUUUAUCAAUAUAAUUGGAUCUUAUGGUGUUCUUCUCCGCUAUCUCUUUUGCGGUGAAUUGAGUCUUGCUCUUUAAAGUUUUAUGUUGAAUUGAAUAUUUUGGAUUUAAGAUCACUUGAUGCAUGUCUAACUUGCGGAUUCCCAUGAUGACAUUGGGGUAAUUUAAGUGACAUAAGAGUUGAUUGAUACGUAUCAUAUGAUUUUGUCGUAGUAUGAUCUCUAGAACUAUGCGUGACACUUUGGGGGUGGUUCAAUAGAUUGACUGGAAACACAAUUUUGAGGUGGUUUACUACCUACGCGAUUUCAUCCUACUUUCUUUGAUAGGAAUAGAGACUUUGGAGUGAUUCUUUGUCGCACCUUGAGGGAUCAUAACAUGAUUCAGUUAUGUUAGUAAUGUUGAGAGACUUUUUUUUACCGAAAAGCCUUCAUGACUAGCUUUAUUAACUCAAAUCAAACUUACAUCUUCUGCUAACAAAGGAAUAAUAAAGCUAGGAGGUGUAUCUGACCACAAAGUCGGUGGAUUACUCCUCAAAAACCUAGCUAUCAGAUGAGCAACCAUGUUUGACUUCCAGUUACAAUAUUUAACAAGUACCUUCCCGAAAUUCGAAAGUAGACUUUGACAUUCAUUGAGUAUUGGUUCUGCAAUCAUUGAGUAACCCUCAUUCAAAUUCAACGCCUCUACCACAGUUACAUUAUCAGUUUGGACAGUUACGUUGGCACACCCAAGCCUCUGAAUGAGCAUUAGACCUUGACGCAAUGCUUCUGAUUCGGCCGAGAUCACAUCGGCUACAUGCUCCGGGCAAGUAGUUGAUGCAGCGACAAACCCCCCCCCCCAAGUGGUCACGUACCAUAAAUCCACAUGAACCAGAGUCUUCAUCAUCAGAAAAGGAUGCAUCCAUGUUAAGGAUUUGCAAUCCAGAUGGUGGCUUCUUCAGUUCAUUCAAGCGACCAUGUACCACUCGCAAUCAUGUUGAUCGAACAAAGUUUAGAGAUAAGGCGUGUAUUGCUAGUGUUGUGCGAUCAAUUUUCUGCACCUGUUCUCCCCUCAUAAUUUCUCUUCUUUGCCACCACAAGUACCAGCACAUAGAUGCAAUUAUCUCAGGAAUUUGAAUGCAACCAGAAAAGGUGCAUUGAAAUUUAUUUUCGCACAAUGGGAACUCAAGCACCUUUGCACCCGAUCGGUCCACCGCCAGAGCUUCUUCUAUUAUUUCAUGCAAGCCCAACUCUCUCCAUAUAUUGUUCGCCCGGCCACAUGUGAAAAGCGCAUGUUUAAUAUCCUCGAUGCUACUUUAGCAUAAUGGGCAUUGAGAAAUAUUACCCACAUGGCGGUUGGCGAGUGUACAAAGGAAAGGAAUCAUAUUGUGCAAGCACCUCCACACAAAUAUCUUUAUCUUCCCCAGUAGUUUAAUAUUCCAAACUUUUUUCCAUACUGGAUGGUUAAGUGAACUAGUUUGUCCCUCUUCACUUUGCAGUUUACUUCCAAACAGAUCAUCGCAUUCAACAUGAUAUGCUGACCGUACACUAAAUGUACCACUUUUUGUAAAAUGCCAUGCGAUAUUGUCCUCCUCUUCAUGGUGUGAAAGUAGGUUCUGUAAAAUUUGUUCUGCAUCGAUUUACCAAAAGUUAUAACGCACGAGCAAUUCAUCCCAUUCACUAGAGGUGGGAUCUAUUAGUUCAUUGACAUAUGUCAAAACCCGGUUACCUUGCACCGUGAUUACUUUCUUUGUUGGCCUAUUAGGAAUCCAACAAUCUUGUUUAUAUUUACACCAUCUCCCGCUCUCCAAAUGCUCCCCUUCUUGAAAGUUAUCCCUGCAAAGAUACUCUGCCACACAAAUGAAGACCCUUUGUUCAAGGUACAGUUCAAUAUGUCAUCGGAGGGGUAAUAUCUAGCUCAAAGUACUCUUGCACAAAGGGAAUCAAAAUUCUCAAUGAACCCCCAACAUUGCUUAGCUAACAUGGAAAGGUUGAAAGAAUGGACAUCUCAGAAUCCCAUGCCACCCCUCUCUUUUAGGAUACACAUCUUCCACCAAGCGAACAAAUGCAUCCUUCGACGAUUGUCCUCAUCUCCCCACCAAUACUGCGACAUUGCAUCAGUGAUCCCCUUGCAAAUUUUCUUUGGGAAUUUGAAAACACUCGUCGCAUAUGUGGGUAUGGCUUGGGCCACCGCCUUUAUCAAAGCUUAUUUCCCUCCGAAAAGACAACAUUCUCUCCUUCCAACCAUUCGCCAUGUUCGAUUAAAGAAGUCAGUCCUUCGGUACAAAGAAGAAAUAGUAAGGCUGAGAGAUUGCACUAGUGAAAGUAUGAACCCUAGGCCUUGUUUCUAAGCAUUGAUACAUCAUUUUCACACACUUUUGUUACUUGCCACCUUGAUAUUUUUAUUUGUUCAGAUUAUAAAAAGUUAUUUCUACCAUUCAUAUUACACAUCUAUCAUCACCUCUUCGCCGAACUAGUGCACCUAUACAUAUGACAGUUGUAUUGGGUGUGUUAACGUUGGGGACACAAGAGACUACUUUUAUUUGCUUGCAGGAUUGUUCGAGAGAGAAUCAUCUUCAUCCUACACCUCCCACAGAUUGAUAAACCUUAGGUCAUCCACUUGAGGAAAAUUUGCUGCAGUCCUACAAAACUCUGCACUUGGAGGCCCAACCAAGUCUAUAAAAAUGAAGUUACGUAGUAGACAUCAGAUUCUCGCCUUUUUCCCUAGAGGUGCCCUGAGUUAUCGAACCCACGAGUGGUUGAUGCUCUUUAAGCUAGGGUUUCAAACAAGCUUUUGGAAGAGAAUAAAUUCGAUCUUUUGAACGGAUCGUUAAUCAAACUGACACUGAAAACAGUUAUAAUCAAAAAUAAGCAUAAGCAUGAGGUCUUAUGCUUACAACCAUAUAUUUGUGUCGGGAUCAUCAUGAUCUUAAUUUGUGCUCUGGAAGUCACCCAUGAGGAUGUGCUUGCUACGUAUCAAAGUGGAUGUGUGUCCAAAUUACGUCUUGGCCGGCACACAUCCUCCAUCAAGAGUCUGUUGUCCAAUCGAAGGCCCUAUCCGUCACACGGGGUUUGCCCCGGUAAUUAAGAUAACAAUAAUUGUACAAAAGCAUUGGGAGUUUAAUGACUACACCCUUGAAUCCACAGGGAUAGGAUCCGUGUUAUCGUACUAAACAUUUUUAUUACUAGUGUUCAGAAUAACACUUCACGGUCUCCCUGCUCUUAGCCUCUCCGUGACUCGCUCUCCAUGAUCCUGGGUACCUACAAGGAUGAAGAACGUGAAUGAGACAAGAGACAACUACAGAACAACUAUAUGCUACACAUACGAGACUUUAAUUCUAAGUACUUCCAUUGAUCCCUCCAACAAUGCAAGGCUCUUGCCUCAACCCAUGACCUUACCGUACUACUCACACAUGGAGAUCAUAUCACACGAAGAACACAUCAUGAAGAUUGAUUGAUUGACAAUAUCGCUUACAAUGGUUGUCGUGUCUGAUAAACGAUUACAAGUAUGGCUAAAUGGCUGGGAACUAUGGUGGUGGUGAAGGUUGUGCCUAUGGAGAUGGGAAAUGGCGGUGGCUAGGGUUGGUGGAGAUAGCUUAUGUGAAGAUGACUGGAUCGUUUAGCGAUGUUCUAUUGCUCAUUCGACAUAGGUCCCUUUAUAAAGGUUGUUCAGGUGGAUCAAGCGCCUCCACUGGCAAUCCAUACGAGCGAGCGUGGUCGUAUAAAACAUCGUCUUCUACUCUAGCGCCACCCACUUGAUAUCAUCUAUCUCCACUUUGCUUAUUUCCUAUAUUAGCUUGAUUUCGUCCUUAAAUAGCCCAUUUCUUGUGGAAACAAAAUAAAGAUACUCAUCAGCCCGACACAAAGACUGCACCGGCGCCGAUCUAAUCGUUGAUCUUGACUCUCGUCGAUCUGUGGUGAUCACCUAGUAGGACCUACAUGGGCCACCAUAGACGGAACCUAAACCGACAGACCUCGAGGUAGGCUAUCCUAAGCUAGGCGUCUAGAAGGAUGGUAAAAAUGGCACGGGGUUUUACCCAGGUUCGGGCUCUCUAAGGAGAUAAUACCAUACAUCCUACUUAUGUUUAUUGUGUUGGAGUGCUACAGAGUACAAGUAUCUACCAACAGAUUAUAAGUAUGAGGAUAUCUUUAUUCUAUGGGACAGGCCCCUUGGUUUAUAUAGGUAUCGGCGGGGGGGUCAAAGGGCACAAGAUCCUAGUCGACUACAUACAGGGAGGUGUUGGAAAUAUGCCCUAAUGGCAGUAACAUUGUAUUAUUAUAUUUCUAUAUGAAAAAAGUCCAUUUUACUACCCUGAAGAAAGUUGGUGGUUCACAUAACCCCCUGAUCUUUAUUUCUGCUCCCUUUACCCCCUAAACAAUCUCAUACUCGGCACAAUCAGUCCUUGGGUGGUUUAACUCGACUCGUUGCUGAUGUGGCAAUGGUCAAUGGGCGGUUUUGACCUGUGGGUGUGUCUUCCUCGUCAUACUGGGCUGAGACAUAGGAGCUCCUCCCGAGCCUCCCCUCGCAGCUGCUUGCUUCUCCGAGCACUGUGCCCGACCCCGCCGCCACUGGCUGACACCGGCGACAGCCGGAGUUCCAACAUGUCGCUCGAGUGUCAUGCUUCUCCUUCCUCCAUUCUCUUUCCUCUCCCUUCUCUCUUCUCCCGCCUCAGGUACAGGUCAAGCCGUCACCACAAUCUCGCCGGCGGGCCGUCUUGACACCUCCGGCGGACUCCGGGUCCGGCUAAAACAAGACCAGAUGGAGCCGCUACCCCUAGAUCUGGCCGCCCAUCGCCUUCCCCUCCACAUGCAUUGAUGCAGCGCCGCUGCCCUGCUACCUCCUACGCGACUACAGGGACGACCAUGCCCGACGGUUGGGCCACCGCCGCCACAAGCUCGCUGUCGUGCCGUCUUCACACCCCUGCCAGACUUUGGAUCCGACCGGAACUAGACCAAAUGGGGUCACCAUCCCCGAUUCUGGCCGCACCCAUGCCGCCUACGUCAUCGCAGUGUCGCGUCGCUACCCUCUACCUCCUGCACGAGGAGAGGGACAAUGAUGCCUGACGGCUGGGCCCCGCCGCUCACCUGACGAGGAAGGCCCACCCUUAGGUCAAAAACGACUUUGACCAUUGCCACAUCAGCAGCGAGUCGAGUCAAACCACCCAAGGACUGAUUGUGCCCGGUAUGAGAUGUUUAGGGGGUAAAGGGAGCAGAAAUAAAGAUCAGGGGGUUAUGUGAACCACCAACUUUCUUCAGGGUAGUAAACUGGACUUUUUUCUUUCCGUAUUCAUAAUUAAGAGUUUAUAUGGAAUAUGUGAUUCAGUGGAAAACUCAUAUGCACGUGUGGAAUGAUAAACGGGAAAAUAAGAAACCUAAUCUUGCCUCUAGACUAGCUGAAGUGUUGGUGGUGAUCAUGUUUUCCGGAUCCUAGGAUAUCAUUAAGUCUAACGAUAAUCCUAAAACAACUUUGAGAAUAUGACAUUAGAAGAACGAUCAUAUUGAAUCGACCCAAACUUGUUUGUUAUACUUUGAGAUACAAUCGCCAGAAGCCAAUUGUUAUAACACAGAGUGUUAGUGUGUCAUUUAGUUCCUUAGAACAUAAGAUUAUCAUAGUCACUUCUUAUCGUACGAUGAACUUUGGGGUUGCUCAAACGUCAUUUGUAACAUGGUGAUCAUAACGACAACUUACAGGUUCAUCAGGAAGUUUGACAAGGGACAAGAUGGCCCAAGAGUGGGAUUUGCUCCUCCAACGAUGAAGACAUAUUCUUAGGGCCCUCUCGGUGUGACAACAUCCAUCAUCAUCUGGCUAUAAUCAUGUGAGUAGGUCACGGGAUGCCGGGACAUGUUAACCAGAAAGAAGAACAAAAUCGAUAACGAGGAGACCAGUAUAGUGAACACGUGUAUGACUCAAGAGGAUACAGAUAUAUCUCACCUCGAGUUUUGUAAAGUAUCGCGGAGCAAAGGAAAUAGCACAUUAUAACCAAAGCUUCACUCGAAUGUCAUUUGUGUAUUCGUAGGGAUCGAUAUGGAUGUCCAUGGUUCCGCUAUCGGUCAUUGAACAAAAGGAGUUUUGUUCAUGUCUAUGUUUUACUGAAGUUUUACUGAACCUGCAGGGUCACAAGCUUACAGGGAUCACGAUCUGUUGAGUGUUAGUGGAGCAAGAGUUUUGGAUGUUUCCAAAAAUGUUCUGGUGCGAGGACACUUUGUCUGGGCCAAGGGGUAAGGCCCACGAGGCUUGAGGUCAGUGCAUAAAAGGGUUUUGUAGAGGACAGGGGCCGAACGCCAAGGUCCCGGGCAUCUGGUCCUGGGCAAGCCACCGAGGUCCGUGACAUUUCAGGAAACACCAUAAACCUUGGUGUUUCGUGCUGGAAUCCAAGGAGGACUCUUCCUUGCAUCCGAAACUGACUUUGGGAAGGCGCCCUCCGCAAGUUGCGACCCCAGGGCUCAACAUAUAAAUAGAGGGGCAGGGCUAGCCCCUAGAACACAAAUUUUGGAGCCUCCUCUAGUUCUAUCGUGUUCAAGUUCUCAUCUAGUUUGAUCUAGACUAGUUCUAGUUCUCUCUGAAUCUUCAUAAUAGAGAAACCCUAUGAGGUUCUCUUCUUCUCCCUCUAAUUCUCUGGAAGUGAUUAGCUCUGGAUGACAAAGCGAUGCCGCAUCGUGAAGACCGAACGCUUGCAAUCUGUGAAUAGGCCGUGCUUUCGGUCUUCUGUUCGAGGGGCUGUUCGUGGGGGGUUUGCAGAAUAGUUCAUCUAUGGUUAGGGGGACUCCAAGUACGUUCUACACCGACUCAUCUUCUUCUAAUGCAACUCGGAGUAGGUAACGAUCUGAUCCAACCCGUUUAUUGCAUCUUCAUAGUGUUCCUGGGUGAUCGUAGGGCGAUUUUUUUUGUUUUCUACUAUGUUUCUCAACAUGAGGCAGAUUCCUCCAUAGAUCCAACAUCCUGCCAUGUAUGUCAAGUCUUCUUGAACCUUUUGAUGAUACACCAUGGGCCGCCCUGUGUGUCCAAGGUGGGAACGGACAAGGGGUCUUCAGCCCAUCCCACCAGGUCGGGAAUUGAUAGGGUGAGAGGCCCCUUAGCCGGGACAUCGUCAAGAGCCGCGCAUAUAUCUCCAUAGAGAUGCAUGCCACUCAAAUUGUAUCGACAGAGGGGGAGGGGGUCUCGGUGGAGGACACGGAGGAAGAGGGGGUGUUGGGGGACAUGGAGGAGGUGGAGGAUGCGCCGGGCAUGGAGGUUGACCCUGACGGCUUUGGCAUGAAGCAGGCGGACGUGUAGUUUCAACACGCCCAAGCCGCGGAAGCAGUGACGCGGUUCGAGACCAAGCAGCCAUCCUCGACUCAGUCCAAUCCAGGCCAGAGGUCACAGUGAACCACCGUCAUAUCCACCUCACCGCUGAGGUGGGAGCGGCUCUUCACGGACAUGGACGACGAGGAAGAGGAGUUGGGGCUUCACCCCACCAACAAUGACCAUGAGGCUGGUCCUUCCAGACGAUGGGUCAUCAAGAUCUCUAAUGGCGACGAGUAAAUUAGGGUAGUUUGCUUGUGUUUAUUAGCUUGUUUGUUUCAUGUAAUGUGUUAUGUAUGAUGAAAUGAGCGUUGCAUGGUUAGUACAAGAUUUGAAGGUCUGCAAAUAGAGUUGUUGUUAGAAUGGCGGUUGACGGAGCUAAAUCCAGCAGAUCUUGGGUAGGCGUCCCAAGUUGGUGAUCUUGGCUUGAUGGUUACAGGAUAGAAAAGAGACACAAUGUUUGCCUAGGUUCGGUCCCUCUCGAAAAGAUAAAACCCUAAGUCCUGCUUGUGUUGUAUUGAUUGUGGAUGGGGUACAAUGUACAGGUUGAUCUACCUUGAGAUCGUAUGUGUGAAUGAAUCUACCUCUAUGGUCUAAAUCCCUCAGCUUAUAAGGACACCGGGGGUACCUAGGGUUACACCUAGGUCGGUUACAUCGGGGGAUAAACAUGCCGAGAAUUAAAUCAUGCCUUGGAGUAUGAGCCAAGUCCUUGGGAGAUUCAUCUUCAGUUCAUCGUGGGGCCUGCCGAACGUGGCCGAGUGGUUGAUAUAUAGUUUGCGGGUACUUGGCCCAGCCCGGGAUAGGGAGCCUACGUGCUUAGCAUCCCCUUAUCCAGGACACCAUCAGCGGGCAUAUGAGAGGUGGUCCAACGUUGUGCCAUGAUGUUUAGAGGGUCAGAUUUUCAUAGUCCGUUUGCAAUUGCUCUAACAAAUUAAAAGUUGGCUUUACUAGUCAGCUUACAGCCUUUGCAUUAUACCAUCAAAAAAAAAUUACAGCCUUCGCAUUAUACAAAGAUGUGUACACCCUACGUCCCAAAUACAGUGCGUAUUAGAUUUUUUUUUUCUUCAAAGUUGACCAGUUUAUAGAAUUUUUUAUCAAUAUUUACAAUACCAAUUAUAUUCAUCUCGAAAUGUAUUUUAUAUGAUGUCUAUUUGGUAUUGCAAAUAUAUAUAAUUUCCUUUGUAAACUUGGUCAAAUUUUAUAGAACCUGACUUUCACAUGAAAAACCAAUGUGCGCUGUCUGCUACUACUAUAUUAUAAGACUGAGGGAGAGGGUUUGGAGCAAUACACGGCCCAAAACUAAGAGAGGAUAAACAGUGGCACAUGGUGCUUAUUGGCCCUCACAGUCACAAACCCAUCGUUUAGAUAAUUCAAGCAGCCUUGGCUCAAAAAAAAAGUUAAUUCAAGCAGCCAGAGGUGGAGGAUGAUGUGCCUGUGCCUGGCUGCCGGGGUUUGCCGAAUUCCCUAACAUCGUUCAGUCAAUUGUAAAUGCUGCCUCUCAACUGUUUUACUAGGUGAAAACGCAUGGCGCUGAAUGCUCGUUCCUCCGCCGAUUUGGAGAGCACGGCCCUCGCGCAACCGGCAUCACACGGAGAUAGCGGCUCAGAGGAUCACAGGUGCAUGGCCAUGGACGCAUGGGCAAGGCCAGCCUAGUGGAAACAGCUGGCUUGACAGUUGCCGAUGGGCCCCCAGCAAAUUAGCUGUCAAAGUUACACUAAAUAAAUGCUCCAGACCUCCCUCCCUCCCGCAAGAGUGCCAGACCAUGCCACCGAUGCUAAAAGCCUCCUCCUCCUUUGUCCAUUCUUUCCUGUCCACCCCCCAAAAGUUCGUUGGAACGUCGGACGGAGCGUUUCGCUCGGCCAUCUGUGCUACUACCAGACGGCGAAAAUAUCACGUCCGCUCGGACAGUUCCGGUAGAAAAAGAAACGUGACCGUGAGCUGCCAAGCUGGGUUCAACUCGGCGUGAUUGCGGCCUCCUAACAGACACUGAAAACGCGUGGUAUGAGACAACGUAGCCGCUCGUAUUCUCUUGCGGGAAAGAAUAGAGUGCGUGCCUACCAGCACCAGCCGGGGGGGAGAGGGUGGGUGAUCCGGACGGGUACUCCACGCCGUAGAAGAAGGCUGUGGAAGGUCGUGGCGCGAGUAGAUUUCUCAUUUCUCGGAGGCAAAGUCGGCAGCGGCUUUCAACGCGCAGUAGGUUAGGUACAUCUCCUCUUGCUCUCUCGUGGGAGUGGGGAGCGGAUUUUAUUUCCCGGGCGUAGUUUCAGCAGCCGACCGCCGUUGCUUUUGCGGCGUGCGGCUGAGGGGGUGGUGCGCGUGGUUAACCGCCUUUCGUCGCGCGUCACGACACCCAGGGCGCACGCCGAAGUUAUGGCCGUCCAGCACGGGCGGUGGGGCGUGUCGUCUACGGCGUGGUCGCGGGAGCAUGGUGCUACGCUGGGAAAUGCUGUACGUACAGUACGUACAGGGAUCGGUGGACCGUGGGCGUGGGGCUUUGUCGACUGAAGAGGCAUGGAGCACUUGAUCUGAUUCUGAACCCGCGAAUGCUAUACGCAUCAGCUUCACCCAGGCACUUUAUUCAUUGAUCAUAGUAGUAUAGCAUUCCUCCCUAAAAAAAUUUUUUUAGAAAAAAAUGCUAUACCUUGAGGUUUUUUAGUCAAAAUACACUUUAUUUAUUGAUCAUAUUCCAAAUGCAUUAUGAUUGUAUGCAUCGUCCAGAUACAAAGGCCGGGGGUACAUCCUCCUUUUCUAAAAAAAUAGUCCAAAUGCAUUGGAUACAAUUUAGGUCCGUCUCCCGUGAAGAACGCCCAUAUGGGCCUACUAGCGCACGUGCUCUCUCCUACCGCUCGAUCGAUGUACUGGUUAGGCCUGGGUUUGGUUCUUUUCUGUUUAUUUAUUUAUUUAUUUAUUUUUCCUUUCAAUUUACUCUGCUUCUUCAUCAGUUUUCUUUGGUUUUCUGUUUUUUUAUUUUUUGUUUCUUUCAUGUUCUUUACUGAUCUGUUCUUUUCUUUAUUUGUCAUGUAUUUCUUUCUCGAUUCCAUUGGCUUUUUUCGCUUUUCUUUCUUUCUUUCUUUCUUCAUUUUUCUUUGUUUCUUUUUUGGAUUUUCUUCACUUUUCUUUGUUUCCUUCUUGGGUUUCAAUGUUUUCAUUCUUCUGGAUUGGUUUUCUUUAGUUUUUAUUUUCCUCUUUGGUUUUCUUUGUCUAUUUGCGGAUUUUCAUUGGUUUCUUUUUUGUUCAACACACGUCCACUUUUGUCAGUACACAAUAUACAUUUUUAGUACGCACAUGAAAGAAAAUUUGAUACACGUUGAACAUUUUUCAAAUACAAGAUGUACAUUUUUCUAGUACAUGUUAUGAACAUUCUUUUAAAACAUGUUCAAGAUUUUUUCAAAUACACAAUGGACAUUUUUUAACGAUAAUAAGAAAAUCACAAACCUACGUCGACAUUUGUUUACAUUGUGUAAAUAUUAUAAAUAUUUUUAGUACACAAAUAUAUAAUUUCUGUAUAUACAUGAAACAUUUUUUAUACAGGCUGAACAUUUCUCAAAUACACGAUACAAAAUUUUAUUUUUAAUGGAUGUUUUGAACACUUCUUUGUAUACAUAGUCAACAUUUUUCAAAUACAUGUUUCCAACACUUCUUUUGUAUAAAUAGCCAACAUUUUUCAAAUACACGUUAACAUUGUUAUGGCAAAAAAUAUAUUAAUAAAACUAUGAGAACAGGUUUUUACAUUAUAUAAAAAAUUCUAAAUGUUUUCAGUACACAAUAUACAUUUUUGUUGUACACGUGAAACAUUUUUAAUACACACUGAACAUUUUUCUAAUAGUAGACGAUACAUAUUUUUAUUUUUAAUACAUGUUUCGAACACUUUUUGAAAACAUGGUCGACAUUUUUCCAAAUACACGUUGAACAUUUUAUUAUGAAAAUAAACAUUUUAUAAAAAUUACGCAAACAUUUUUGUAUAUUUUAUAAACUGCUUAUAAAAUGUCACAAACAUUUUCUUGAGACAAUAUUUCUUUAAAACACAUAUAUAUUUAGUGGUGCGAAACAUUUUUUGUAUUGCGCAUUUUUUUACAUUGUAUGCAUAUUUUUCAAUAAUUUCACAUGCAGUUUUUUGAAACAUAGAAACAUUUUUUUAUGAACACUUUUCCUGAAAGCUAUCAACAUGUUUUCAGUUGCGCUAACAUUUUUUUAUAACGUGUUAACAUUUUCCAAAUUCAUGGUUUUAUUUUUGUUAAUAAAUUUAAGUAUUUAAAAUAUAGAUAAAAAGGGAAAACGAAGUUAGCACGCUUUGUCAGUCAUACAAGAGGGAAGAUACUCAAAGUUGAUGAGAGUACUCGAUUUGACUGGUAUCACGAAUAACAACUUUAGUAUGACUCGUGCGUUGAUGAUUGUAAGGUUUUUUCAUCGAACCACUAAUGACUGUUAACUUUUGUCAUUCUGAUGGUACUGAAUCGGGUCAAUAUUUGGAAUAACAAAUAUUGCAUCCACACCACCUUCUCGAAAUUUCAAGGGGAGACUCAAAUUCAACUAUAUUACUUCUGCACACCCGGUAGUGCUGUUGUCCUAUCAGUAGUACCGCUUCCCUCAUGGGAGCCGUACCUCUACUCGCACUUCAAGUUGGUAGUAACGCUCCCCCGUUUGGAGCGGCACUACUGCUCCAAGAGUCAAACCUACUACCCGGGGGUGGUCUUCCUCUCUGGUCUCGUAGCAGUUCUUAAGCAGUAGUGCUAUGAUACUACUGCUCCGUACACUGUGCUAUGACUCACAGUGGGUCGGUAUUACCAUGCACUGGUCCAGAAGUACCGCUCCCUUGGUUGGAGCGGCACUACCAGACCUAGUGUUGGUCUAAUUACUGCAGGGGGCUCAAUUUCCCAUGUAAUUCCACCGGCACCAUGGCGACACAGCUACGACAAAUACCGACUAUUUUUAUAUACCUGUUACUACCGUGGUCUAGAGCGGUAGUACCGCUCAUGCCUUCGUUGUGCAUCCUAAAGGGACCAACUCUUGUAUUGCUCUUCGGAGCAGUACCACUCAUUGCAAAAUCUACAUAACGGUUAGAUUUGAGUCUCUCCUCAAAAACUUGGAAGGUGCAAUAUUUUUUCGUGUGCGUGUUUUGAUUCCACCCAUCCCUUCCAACAUGAACCCUCCUAAAUAGUACGGAUUUUCUACGACCAAAGAAAUAAAAGCGCCGGAAACACCAUCUUCGAUAUUUUCCUUCAAGAGGGGAACUUAACCGUCUUGUGCCACUUUCCAAAUAUGCCUGUGUAGCGUAAGCACAUGGUUAGUCUGCAACAUGCGUUGUCAUCAACACCAAAACCACAUAGACUGGACAUAGUGGGAGUAACUUCAAGAGUAACAUCAAGUUCAACUCAGCAAAUUUACCUAUGUGGCAAUAAGUUAAUGAGGAGAGAGGCAAAUUGAGUAACUUAGCUAGUUACCGUAACAUUACAUAUCUCAAGACAACACUACUAGGGAAAAGCCUAUACACAAAAUCUUACCAGCAACGCUCUUCAAAAUAUCACGCUACUGCUACUUAGCAGCAACGCGUGUCUACCAAACGCGCUGCUGACUUGGAAGUAGCAGUAGCGCGUGUAUCGCAUACAGCGCUACUGCUAUAGUUGCCAUGACCUUGGCCCCCCCGCUAGCUAUAGCAGUAGCGCACUUUCCUGUGGAGCGCUACUGCUACUCAGGUUAGCUAUAGCGCGUUUUGUCAAACGCGCUACAACUAUCCCUACCUUAUCCCCACGCGCACGACCGGCCCUCUCACUCACACUCUCACUCUCGCCCGCGUCAACCGUCGUCGUCCGUCGCCGCCGCCGCCGCCUUCGUCCGUCCGCCGCCGAGGUACUCCCCUCCUUCUGUCCCUCCUCCAUCCUCCUCGCACAUCCUCCCUCUGCCUGCGGCCGCCCCUCCCUCCUCCGCCGCCGCCCUCCUCCCUCCGCCUGCGGCCGCCCCUCCUCCCUCCUCCGCCGGCAGCCCUCCUCCCACCGCCCUCGACCUCGCCGCCCCUAGCUACCUCUCCGUCGCCCCCCACCCCCUGCCACUAGUUAGUACUAGAUUUAGUAGUAGUAGAUGUUAAUUUAGGGUUAGCUAGUACUAGAUGUUGCUUAGUUAGUACUAGAUUUUUAGUAGUAGUAGUGGUAGUUGAACUACUUUAGUUGUAGUUGAACUAGUUUAGUAAGUAAAUUAAUAAACUAGUUGAACUAGUUGAAUUAACAGAACUAAUCUAUUUUUAGUAAGAUAAUUAAUAUAACUAGUUGAACUACUUUAUUUUUAGAAAGAACUAGUUUUUUUUCUAUUUAUAGUAAGUUUAUAUUUAGUAAGAACUAGUUGAAUUAAUAAAACUAGUUGAACAUGUCAUGUUUGUUGUUAGUGAUAACUUAUAUGGUUUCAGGUGACCUCCGUCGUCCCCAUCACCGACCCCCUCCGACAUCCCCGCCGUCGUCCCAGUCACCGACCCCCUCCGACAUCGAGGUGAGACCAGCCAAAUAUCCUUGUAUAUCUUGUGUUGUUGCUCAAAUUGGAUAUGUGGUUGCCCAAGUGGCCGUUCAUGUUCAGUUUACAUCUUCGAGUGGCCUAUGUUUUGCCGGAGUGUUGAUUAAUUUCCGUUCCGGCAAAUUUCAGGCGCUCGAUAUGUCCUUUUUUAGCAAAGGUCAUGCCGGAUUUUGUCGUGAAUUCUGGCAUGACUUGUGCUAGAAUAUGUACAAGUUUAAUCUUUGAAUUAUGAUUGUAGGAAAUGUCGUACUCGGACGACGACGGUCUUCCGGGGGAGUGUAGCUGGUGCCACGACGAUCGAGGUAUGUGCAACAGGUUCGUUCGGCUGGACGAAGAUCGGCGCUUCAACAUUAAGCUCGAGGAGACCUUCGAUUGUGAAACGGUACGCAACAACGACAAGUGUUUUUUUCUCCAUUAAGCAUGACUUCAACUAUUUCAACGUCUAAUUUUCAUAUUUUACAAUUCGACUAGCUUAUCCCAUGCCAUGCAAGACGCUAUGUCUUGGAGAGGAUGGGUUUCGAAGACCAUGAAAAUUUCGAAACAAAGAAAAUACACCUAAGGACCCAUCAUGAUAUGGAUUUUGAAGUAAACCUGUGCAAUGCUCAGAACGUAACCCAUUUUGGUUGCCAAAAUUGGGAAGCACUUUGUAAAAUGUAUGGUUUUUAUGAGGAUAUGAUUGUCACCAUGGAUCUUGGUGAUCCUGACAGCGAGGAAGACAAUAUGGACAUUUGGGUCCUUGUUGAUACGCUUCCGAUUGUACCGCUAUGUGAGUGUCUCAAACAUAGUUAUUAACUAAUUUAUAUUGUUUAUUUCAAAAUAGUUGAUAGCUUAUUUCCAUUGACAGCUUAUUUUGAUUCUUCAAAGACUGUGCGGAAGAUGGUAGAUAAAACCCACUACACCGAAGGCACCCAAUUAACGUAUAAGGAGAAAAAUUAUCUGAUCGCAUUUUGUACUCUUCUUGAGAAUUACAAUGACUAUUAUCGAACUCCUCCAAAUUAUGGUGAAUACGUGCCACUAGUGCAUGUGUUGAACAACGAUAACUUCUCUGGAGAUACCCUAGUAAGAUUUUUUACUAUUACGACAUCCGUGCAUUUUUUGCAUACUUCUAAAACUAGUACAUCAUCGCUAACUACGAAGUUAUUAUUAUGUUUUUCAACAGAAACUCCCGAUGGAUUGUGUGCCUUAUCUGAUGUCUCUGCAUGGUCGCCUCUCAGUUCUGAACAUACUGCCAGGUAAAUCUACGGAGCUCACCUGUGCAUAUCGGAUUUCUAAAACCCGUGAACACAUGAUCAUCAGAGAAUGGAAGAAAUGUAUGGACAUUCGAAAGGAGGUUCUUGGAAGUAACAUUCAGCGAAAGGCAAGAAUGGGAGACAGGCUAAUCUUCAUUCUCCAUAAUGGAGAGUCAGGGGCUAUCUUAUUUUUUGUUAUUUUACCUUAGAAAAUGUAGUAGGUCUUAAUCGAAUGUAAUAGGUCCUAUGAGGUACAAUAUGUUUAUUAUGUGGUAAUGUGUUAGAGUUGAUAAUGAUGAUCUUGAGGAGGUGUUAUGUGAUGUCAAUGAUGAAAACGAUGAUAUUGAGGAGGUGUUAUAUGACAAUGAUGUAUUAUGAUGCUAAGUUGUUAAUGAUAUGAUGAUGAUGAUGAUAUUAUUAUAUCAUUGGGUGAAAGAACCGCGGAUUAGUUUCAAGUGGAUGGACAUCCACUUGAAACUAGUCCACGGUUCUUUCACCCAAUGAUGUAAUAACUCAUUAUGAUGUAAAAACAAUUUCUGAAUUCCUGUUGUAUGAAAACUUGUGUAAAGGUGUAUGAAUACAACAUAAAAAAGAAAAGAAAUAAAAUACUAAAUAAUAGUAGUAGCGCGGGUAAGGAGAAGCGCUACUACUAAUUACCAGUAGCGAUGUUCUAAAGAACCGCUGCUACUAAGUCAAUUUAGCAGUAGCGUGGGUCAAGACGCGCUAUUGCUAAGCAUUAGCUGUAGCGCCUUAUCAGUAGCGCUCCUGUCCGCGCUACUGAUAGGCCCAAAACCCGCGCUGCUGCUAGGCUUUUCCCUAGUAGUGCAAUAUGAUUCUAUAACCUAAUAAAUGAAGCUUUGCAUGACACCACGUAUAUGUUACUACCCACUAUGGAGGUAAUAACACAGCGUAGGGUAGCGUGUAUGUUACCAGUGCAGGUUACUCUCCACUAUGGCUAGUUUAAUGGAGGAAAAUGUCCUUUCACACGUUAUCACAUGCUGCCUUAGUCACGCUAGCGAUGACAUUUGUGGGCGACAUGGUUGGCAAGGAGGAGAACAAUACACGAUGGAUUUUUCCAGAGUCCGUUGUGAGCGCAUUUCUUUAUCAGCAGUUUUAUCUCUAAACCUGAUAAAGUGGGGCUGAAGCAAACAUCACAUGUGUCAACUGGUCCGAGAAGGGAAGCUCUAGUCUGCCCAAAGUCCCCUCCCACUAGCUAUGCAAAGAUGCAUGUCGAUGCGAGUGUGGCAUGGUCAUGUAGUGGAGGUUAUGCACGACGGUAUGCCGCGAUGAAAAUGCCUCUAUCUGGGAAUCUCAACGAUAGUCAUAAAUGGCAUUCUGGACGUGUCCACACUAGAGGCUAUCACAUGCUAUGAGGGUUUGUCGCUCGUGGAUGAUCUCAUGUUGCAUAGCUUCAUCAUCGCAUAGAAUUCUAAAAAGGUAGUAAACAACAUUAUCAAAGGCGAUCAAAGGACGAUAUGGCUCAGUCAUCAACAAGAUCAAGUUGCGAGCUACGAUGUUUAACUAUAAAUUCAAUUUUGAAGAGCAUGUAACUAAUGCGGAAGCUCAUAGUUUAGCAAAGUUUUCUCAUACGCCAUGUCUGGCUAGUCCAGCCCCAUGACCCCUUAUGUAUAUCACUCUCCAUGGAUUUUGAUUUUUAUAUCCCUUAAAAAACAUAGCAAAUCCUAUUGGACGCACAUUGCUUCAAACAGUCGAGCCAAUGCACAGCGAGUGAUUUGGGCUGGUCAAUUUAGCGUUAUGUAGAGGAGAUUGCCAGUUCUGAUUUUGGGAACCUUCUAGAAGGCAGGUGGUCAUUUUCUGUUGUUGGUUUAUUUUGGUUUGUCUUUUCUUUAAAAAAAAUUUCUUCAGAAUAUUUACAGAUAUUUAAAAAAAUAAUUUUGUUUUUUAACAAAUGGUUGAAAAGUUCUCAUUUUCCACAAAUGACUAUGUUUUCAAAAAUUCUUUACAAAAUUCAUAAAAAUUAAAAUCAAAUAUUGGAAAAAAUGUUAACAAUAUUCGUUAUAAAAUUUCAAAAAUUGCUCACGUUAUAAAAAAUUAGAGUUUGCAAAAACUGUGUUAUUUUCUUAAAAAAAUAAAUAUAAAAAAUAUAAGAUUUUUUAAACUAAGUGUUCAAACAUGUUCAUGUUUCAAAAAAUAAUUUAGAUUUUCAAGAUAUAUUUUCAAUACUAACCGAAAAACCGGGUACAGUUUUUUUGAAUUAUUUGAAUUGCUUAUCACAUGUGUUACGUGGUCUGGGUACAGUGUUUUAUGUUCUCUACAGUGCUUCAAUAUCUCAACAGUUGUACGAAAGAAAAACACAAACCCACGCUGGUGGCUUAAUGGGCCGGGCUGGUUUGCGCGUGUCUGUUCGAAUGGUGGGCAUUUUGACGCAAGGAGCGUCACAUAGCAAAUCCUACAGGAUGUCGAUUGCGUCAAAUAAUCAACCCAACGGACCAGUGAUUUGAGCCGACCCAUUUAGCGUUACUUAGAGGUUCCUGAUUGGGUUUUUCUAUUUUUUCUUUGCAGGUUUAUUUCGAGUUUUUCUUUUCUUUCUUUAAAGAAAUUCAAAAAAUAUAGGAAAUUACUUUGAAUAUUAGAGAUUUUUUUAAAAAUGUAUGUGGUUUCAAAAUUUGUUCAUAAAUUUCAAAAGAUGAUCAAAGGUUAAAAAAUGAUCAUGUUUUCGAGUUUUAAUUUUUAGAAAUAUUUUUCAAGUUUUGAAAAAUGUUUGUAAAAAUGGGCUCAUUUUAAUAAAUGUUUUCGCAAUUUUCAGAUUUUUUAAAAUUGUUAAAUUUUUGAAAAUGGGACCAUUUUCAAAAUUUGUUUGCAUUUUCCAAAAGUGUUCAUGUUUUUUAAAAUGUUUGAAAAAAUGGUCUCAUUUUCAAAAACUGUUCACAAGUUUCAGAAAAAUGUUCAGAUUUUUGAAAAACGGGAUCAUUUGAAAAUUUUGACCCCAUUUCCCUAAAAUGUUCAUGGUUUUUAAAAUGUUGAUAAUUUUGAAUACUUUUCAUGUUUUAUAUAAAUUAUCAAAAGUUUUUCGCCGUUUUCAAAGCAAUGUUCACUUUUUCCAAAAAAGUGUGCUAACUUGAAAAAUGUUAUAAUGUACAAAAAAUGUUGAUAUUUGAAAAAAUGUUUUCAAUUUUCCUGACAGUGUUCUUGUUGUUAAAAAUAAUUUAAUUUUUUUAUGAAUUCAUCGUGAAAAAGGGGUAGAAUGUUUCCCGGUUCUCUAGAGUGCCUUUUAGUUCAGGACAAUGGCUUCUGGUUCUCUACAUUGAUUCAAGGUUGCUACAAUGUACGAAAGGAAAAUGCGGACCGAUGUUGGCGGCUUAGGAUGCGUUUGGUUGAAUGGAUUGUUCAUGAUGGGUUGAUAUCAUACCAAACAAAUAGUUGUUUGGUUAAAGCACUUGAAUGGUUCCAACCAAAAGAGGGAAUAUGCCCUGAAAAUAUCUGGGAGCUCCUAUACAACGCUGCAGGCGCCCGUUAACGAUCCAGCGCCUGCAGUGCUGCUAGCAUGGGCCAGCCCACUAGCGUGCUGCCCUAAGUUUUUUUUAGUUUUUUUUUACAAAAAUAAAAAAAUGAAAUGAAGAAAGCUUUACAGAUUUAAAGAAAAAAAAAUUCAUCCAUUUGAAAAAAUAUGUUCAUAUCUUUAAAAAAGGUUCAUAAAUUUUGAAAAAGUUCAUCAAUUUGAAAAAAAGUUCAUUAAAAAUUGAAAAAAAGUUCAUUAAAAAUUGGAAAAUAGUUCAUCCAAUUUAGCAAAAGUUCAUUAAAUUUGAAAAAAGUUCAUAGAAAUUGAAAAAAAGUUCAUAUAUUUUUAGAAAAAGUUCAUGGAACUGGAAAAAAAGUUCAUCCAUUUUCAAGACAAAUGUUCAUUAAAUUUCGAAAAAGUUAAUCAAUAUUAAAAAAAGUUCAUCAAUCUCAAAAAAGAUCACAGAUUUUUUUUAAAAAAAAUCGUCAACCGGCGCCUAGAUAGGCCGGCCCAUUUACGGACGCCACAUGCGCCAGUUAAGAAAAUGCACGUUAACUGGCGCCUGUGGCGCCAAAUAGGAAAUGCCCUCUUCUUCCCCAUGCUCGCGUGUGCCGUGCCGUGCCCGACCGAGCGACCACCGACCGGCCAGCGAGGCACCCCCGCUCCACGCACACACACAGAGACCCAGACCCACACACACCAAGGCGUGCACGCAAUGAGGCCCUUCCUGUUCACGCCGGUGGGCGCCCAGCUCGCGUCGCUCCCCUCGCCGUCAACGCUCUCGCGACUGCUCCGCCCACUCCACCUACAAAACCGCCAUGCUCACGCCAUCCCCAUCCCCACCCCCACCUCCUCCUCGUCGCUCCUCCUCCACCCUCCCCGCCGCAGCAGUGGCCGCCGCGGCGAUCGCUUCCUCGUCGCCUCCUCCUCGCCCUCUCAGGUCUGCCUGGCCUCUCCGUCCCGCCGAAUUCCACCUGUUUGAGAAUAGUCCCGGACCCCAAGUGUUCGAUGGAAUGCCUCCCCUGCGGUGAUUGUGGAUUUGGCUGAUGGCGCCCGGCCGUUUUGUUUGUAUUGCAGAUGGCCGCGCCUGCCGAUGCCCCCGGAGGAUCCGCAGACGCGUUCGAGGUGAUCCGCGCUCACCAGGUGCGGCUCUUAGCCUUGGCUCUACCUAGUGAUUAUGUAGUUACUAUGUGGUAACCUGAGGACGCGAUAGCUGCACAACUUCUAACACGAAAAAUUGGGUGCUCUGCUCAGUACCAUGGGGAAUAUAAGACAUCUUUUUUUCAGAACCAUGUAUUGAGUAUAUGCUACGGAGUCUGAUAGAUUAUCAGGAGGAUUAAACAGUAGUCUGGAAUAGGCUUAAAAUUAUGGACCCCCUUAGCUGGCGAACAGUAGUCUGGAAUAGGCUUAAAUUUAUGGACCCCCUUAGCUGGCGAAAGUUCGCCAGGAGGGGGUGGCAUUUGAGAACAUUUUCGCUGGCAUUUUUAGUUGUGAGGGGUAGCAGUUUUUUCAGAGCGACAUGGCAGUUUCUGUCAGAGAUGGCAAUUUUUCGUUUAAAACUGCCACCGUUUGAUCUCGUCUCAGAACUAAAACUGCCAUCAAAAGGGGUUCGUUUGCCACCCCUCUCCCAGCGAACAGUCGCCAGAUGAUUUCCAAAAAUUAUUAAUGUGUAACUAACUGAAUUUUCGAAAUUUAGUAUGGCGAGGGAGGAAUGUCGUCGACGAUUAACAAAAUGAUAGGGAAGGUACUCGGUGCUUUCCUUUUCAGAACCAUGUGCUUGAUAUGUGUUUAUGGGGACGGAUUUAUUACCAGGAGGGUUACUGUGAAAUAGGUUUAAAAUUGUUCCCUGGUAGUGAUUUUCUUCAACAAUUAGUGUGACGAGGAAAAAACAUAUCAUCAUCAACAAUUAACAACGAUAUGCAGAGCUUUCCUCCACAAUAGUCAACAUAUUCCAAUAUCGUGGGAGUUUUUUUAUCUAACCACCAUCAACCGGAUCAACUUUGCAAAAUAUGCCAUUUUCGGUUCCUAUUAGAUAUUUGAAUGGUCAGCCUGUGGAACAAGUACGUGCAACAUUUAUGACAGCUCUGAACAAAUACCUUAACUAACAAGUUACAAAGUUGUCUUGGAUUUUAAUUAAGAGGAACUCUAAAGAUUGUAGGUUUUAAUCUUUUGCCAUCUCAAGGUCUUUCUUAUUCACUCAACAUCAUCAUGAUUAUAGGUAAAAGCUGCCCGGCUUCCUCCUGUUGAAGAAAUACGAACCAUUCUGGACCAAAGUGUCAGAGGUGUUCUGGCUACCCAUUCUCAGGUAUGCUAGAAGCAUUCUUGUAUUUGCAGUCUAGUGAGCAUGCAUUUGCCAGUCUUUUCCUGUGUCGUCUUUUUUAGAAUUCUAUUGAAACUGGUGAGUACUGAUUGCCAUGUGGAUAUGUAAAGGGCGGACCUGAUAUUUUUUUUUCCAUUAACAGCUUCUCUUGAUUAUUCAAACUUAACUUUGUUGCUUAAACCUGCUUGAUAACUCCACUUUUCACUUCUCGCUGAAAUGUGGCAUGUGCUUGGCAAGGUACCUGUCAGAUAUUUAGUACAUCGUGAUAUGUAGCUUUUUACCAUGCCAUACUGGCUGAGAUUGUCACCUUCCAGUAUGUGCCUUUUCUGCUUUGUGAAUGGCAAAGGCAAAUUAUAUUUUUCUUCUAUCUCCUUCUAUUGUCAAUUGGUUGAUUACAGCAAAAGAAAAUUAUAACAUGUCAUUCUGUUAACAGGAACAUGUGGGUUAUCCAUCUGGUUCAAUGGUUGAUUUUGCGUGCGAUCAAGAUGGUUCCCCCAUAUUAGCAGUGAGUAGUUUAGCAGUUCACUCAAAGGUAUGCCAGUAUUGUGCUCUCAUGAUUAUGUAUACAUGUAAUACUACCUGUCGACACCGUUCUACGCGCAUGGAGACCCUAUGCAUUUAGUGACUUAACUCAAACACACAUGAUAACACUGACAAUAGCAGGAGUACUGUCAGAUAAACACGGACAUAAAAAACAGAAUGGAUAGACAUGAAAAAUAUAAAAUGCAUGGACAGUGUUCUAUGAAAAGAAUAGGGUGCUGGUUUAAUCUACUAAAUUCACAAUAGCUUCUGAUAGUUAUGUCUUUUGUUGCCACCAUUUUGCAGAAUCUCGCAGGAAGUAGUAAAUGCUCACUUUUGGUUGCCAAAGACCCAGAGGACAGAACAGAUACUGUAAUCACUGUAUACGGCGAUGCUACACCUGUAAUUCCCUCCUUUCACUUGCCCCAUAUAUUAGUGUGCUUAUGUCGGACGCGGAUUUGGUGAACAUGGGUGCGCGCGCACCCUUUAUGAAUAGUAAAUUCAAAAAAAUACUAGAAAAAACCAAAAAAAAACUGAAUUUAUUGUUUUAAUAUACAUAGUCAACCGGUAUACUCACAUAUGAAGUUUCACGAAGAAAUCACAUCCGUGGUAAUCUGGGCAAAAAUGACAAAAUCGAAGCUAUAUUAAAAAACACUGUUUAAUGAAUAGUAUGACCACAUUUGUAUUUUCUUCACUAAGAAUACCAUGGGUAUCAAUACAUUAUGAAACUUCACACGUGAGUAGAAUGAUCGACUAAGGUUCAUACCGCGAAAUUUCAGAAAUUUUUAAAUUUUUCUAGUAUUUUUUAUGAAUUUACUAUUCACAUGGGUGCGCGCGCACCCAUGUUCACCUUUGUAUUUCGGCUUAUGUCCUGAUAAAUUUCUUAACUUGAUAUUUAUUAAAGCAUACAGUAUAUGUUACCUGAUAAUUCUUUGUUGGCUCACUUCGUAUUGGUUCUGUUCCAAAGGUUCCUGAUGAAGAAAAAGAUGCAGUGAGAACUGCAUAUUUACGGAGACACCCUGAGGCCUUUUGGGUAUGUUUGUUGAACAUUAUACUGUUUCUAAAGUAACUGUAUAAUAUCGUACUAAUUUCUGAUGGAAAUUUGCGAAAUCAAGGUUGACUUCGGUGACUUCCGUUUUCUGCACAUCAAACCAAAAGCUGUACGUUACGUAUCUGGGGUUGCAACAGCUAUCCUUGGCUCUGGAGGUUUGUGACCCGUCUUUUAAAUGCCCUAGUUAAAACUACUUAUAGUUAGAAACCUGCAUAGCCUUUUUGACCAGAAGUUCAAGGUUCUACUCGACUUUUAAUUUGUUUUUUAGUUGCUAUGUAAUGUUCCUGUAGCGCUCUUGCGAGAAUCGUGAGUUGCAAUAUGAGAACCAUGAAAAGGAAUAUCCUGAAUAAGAAAACAGAAACCGAGGAAACUGUAUAAAGAUAAAACUAGUAGCCUCUCGUCUUAUGUCAUUCUCUCCUUUUUCACUCAAUGUUUCAUCCGAAUUUAACAAUGAAAUUUUCUAUAACAGAGGUUGAGUGUUCCUAUAGUUAGUUUCUUUAGUGAAAACCAGGCUCAAUCAUAAGACUUGCACAUUCGGUGCCCUGCACUUGUGCUUAUAGUUAGGUUUUGUGACCUAAAGGUCAAAUUCUGUACGAAAUGCAAUAUGAUUUGGUUUGAUGGUCCUUGAGAUACUGUUCUGUUCUCCACAUCCUCAGAGUUUAGUGCAGCUGAGUUCAAGGAAGCAAAAGUGGAUCCUAUAUCUCAGUUCUCCGCUCCUAUUGCAGUAUGUUUUAUAUUUUAUUGACUCCACACUAAAUCUAUUGAUCUUCAAUUGGCAUAUUUAUGCUCAAGUUAGCUGCAUGUAUUCCACAGGGCCACAUGAACAAGGAUCAUGCUGAUGAUACAAAGCUCAUCGUGCAACACUCAACCUCUGUUAAGGCAAGUACAAUAUAAAGCUUAAGUGGUGUCUGGUCAUGAAUGCGACUCUGCAAGAUAUACUAGAAAACAAGUCGUAGCUGUAUUAGUUUGCGAGACAGUUAUAUUAUUUAUCUUCUGUUCAUUUCAUACUUAAGUUUCUUUCUGUAACCAAAUAACUAGUAUUUUAGUUAUUGUAUGGCGGUGUUGUGCUCGGUCACCGUGAUAUAUUUUGUGUGUAGAGACGAAUGUUUUAGUUUAAGGAUAUGGUUCCUACUUUUUGUCCCAAACAUUAGAUAAAAAAAGGUGCAAAACACACAAAGCUUGGUUCUGAGUUCUUUUUCUUUACAGUAAACACAUCUAUGCCUUGUAUCACUCUUUCAUUUUCUUAAUUUUGACACUUCUAUACUUCACCAAAUGUUAAUGUUUCCAUUUAAAUAUAUUGAGGGAUGACAAAUGUAAGCUAUUUCAGGUGGAUUUCGCUUCUAUUCUGGAUGUGGAUAGCCUCGGUAUCAAUGUGAAGGUAACAGCCCUCUCAAAGCUUGGCUCGAUUUUCUUGUAUAGACCUCUGUAUAGUCCCCCCCCCCCUCCCACUCCUCCCCCGCACAUACCCUCUGUUGUACAUAUCUCCUUUUUUUUCAAUAGAAAAUUACUGUCGAGGCUCCCCUCUUUCAAAAAUGGGGAUGUAAUAAGUAAUAACUAUACAAAGGCUGUGUCUUUUUCUUGUUUGGCAAAAAAAAUAUCAAUGAAUCAUAGCGAUGUUGUCUUGUGAAUGCUUUCUACCCUCAGCUCCGAUAGUCGACCAGUAAAUUGUCAUAUGCACUGUAUUAGCGGUUUUGACGAUCAGAACAGAAUUCGAAAUAGACAAUUUAUUCCCAGGGAUGUUCUUUUUUUUAGUGGCUAAAGGCUGUUCUUUGGUUGGACAAUGAUGCACUAUCCUUUCAUAUCUUUGAAUUUACUUAACCAGACCUUUAAUGUGCCAUGCUAUAUUCUAGUCAAAGCCAACCGGUGUGGUAACAUGGUAAUUGACACUUUCCUUGUUGUGCAGGCUGGCUAUGAUGGAACUGUUCUGAAGCUGCGAAUUCCCUUCCCUAGACGUGCGCAAGACAGAAAGUUAGUUCCUGCUCUAUUAUAUUUUCCCCAUAGUUAUAAUUCAUGCAUACUCAUUUCUCCAUUCUGCUCUAUACUUAUAUUUGCUACUCUCUUCAUAAUCUUGUUGUUAAAAUUGGGUUUACACAUAACAUGUUCCCUUCUUUGGGGAUGAUUAUGCAUUUUGUCACUUGCAUUGUUCAUCAAGGCCUCCUAGGUUUUCAAUCUGCUGAAUGACGGUUUAAUUGGUAACUAAGACAUGCUUAUUCUGAUUACUCAAUUGAUUGACUCUAAACGGUCCUGUGCUUUUACAGGGAUGUGAAGACACUUAUUGUGGAAAUGCUACAGGCUGCAAAGGCCUCAUCCUGACAUGCUGAAUGGCCUCUUUGUUCUGGAAGGCAGUGGCGGCGUCCAUGUAGAAAGAAAGCCCUAGCCGAUAAGAGCUUUCAGGUUGCUCUCCAGUCUCAGUGUCCGCGAAGAUGGAUGAUACAGAAAAUUCCAUGGUUUCAUACAUCAAUCAUCACUAUUGUGACAGCGAACUUGUGUGAAUUACUUCCAGUCAAACUUAAAGAAAUGCAAAACGACUUGUAUAUUGUACUGAACUGUUUUGCACUCAUACACGACUGAGGCUGUUGAGCAAACAAAGGUCAUCUUAUUGGAAGGUUUCGCAUGUCAAAAUUAGAUAUUGUCAUGCACACUCCUGCGGGGAUCCAAUCCGAUGCACGAAUUGCCUUUGAUUUGGUCACAUCACCCGCUUCUGCCGCGCUAAGAAGCUUGUCCACCAAGCUUUGCCGCCCCAAGGUCAUGCUCCACCGCCUGCAUCCACUAGUGAUGUCUUCAUGACAGACGUGCAGUUCCAGUUUGUCUUGGCUAGCAAGUCGGGUUGGUGGAGGAAACCAAGCUGCUUCGCACUGAGCUUCAUGAUUGCCUUGCGCGAGUUGGGAGUGUUUUGGUGAGGACGGAGGCCGCUCUUGCCAAACUAGAGGUGGUGCCGGAUGUGUCUUCGCUGCUUGAGCUUCAGAUUGGGGUUGCCCCUGAUUUGUCCCCGUCACCCGAGAUCCUGGUUGGUUCUGCCACAGACAUGUAUGGAGAUCUCUCCCCUCGUGCUACAUCCUGUUGGUUGUCGUUGCAUGUCGUGCCGAUUGCUUUCGGGAGUGAAGCCGUUGUCGAGGUUGUGGCUCCGGUGUUGCAGAAGAUUUAUGGGGAGCCCACUUCGCCUAUUUAGAUGGUGCUUCCUAAGGAGAUGGGGUCGCUUGGAGAGUACUUGGCGAUUCUGACUACGACCACACUGCCGUCGUUGGAGCCCAGUCGGCUGCUCGCCUUUGUGGACCGUGGAGGUUUGGACGCUGCUAUUGCGCUCUCACCUGAGGUUGUUGCCCAGGUGGCGUCCGUGGGUGCUGAGGUUGAUGAGAUAGGUGCUUUGGCAGCUAAUUAUGAGGUGAUGAAGCCCGUUCGGUCGCCCAUGUUUGACCGUGACGCUAUGUUGACACGUAUUGACGAGGCGGUCUUCGUGAAAAAACUUGGCCGCUUACUCGCCUCCUUGGAGAUAGCUUGUCCUGGGUCUUGCAGUGUGAUUGCUUGCCUCUUAGUGGAUGAGGUUUCUACAGGCAAAAUAAAGAAAGUGAACAAGGCUCUCAGGAGCAUAGGCAAGAAGAGUGUCGCCAUUGAUAAGGCGUCUGCGGCUGCUUAAUGGAGGAUACUCAGUCUCUUCGUCCUCCAUCUCUGACUGGCUCGUCUCUAUGGAUUUCGUGGCGUCCGAUGUAUUCAAUCUUGAUUUUGUUGAGGGUUUGUUUGCGACAUAGAAGUGCCAGGGUUCGUGGCUGUUGCAUGUUAUGUAUGUUUGUCGGGUUGACCGUGGGGUCAUGGAGUUUCUUUCUUAACGAGUAGUCCGCAUGAUCUAUAUGUAUCGGUUUUCGUCCAGUUUUCCAUUAAUUAACCGGUCAAUUCUCUUCUUCUUAAUUAAUCGAUGAGGCAAUUUUUUGCCUUGGUUUCGAAAAAAAUAAAAAAAUAGAUAUUGUGUUUCCCUCUAUGAGUUUUUAUACCAUCUGAACUAUCAACCGGCGAGCUAACGAGCUGUAAGAUAAUUUGCUCGGGUAAAAGAAAAAGGGGAUUAUUUGAUUCAAAGGAAUAUUAGAAGUUUUAUAGAGGAUUUAAUUCUUAAAAAAAUCCUACUUGUUUGAUUUGCAUGAUUAGAGUCCUUAGAUUUUUCUUUCCCUAAGGAUACCUUUUGGAGAAAGAAAUCAGUCCACCGAAAUUUCUUGCUAUAAGAGCAACUCUAGUAGAGUUAUUGUAUCGGGUAGUCGCCAUAUCGCAUAUCGAGCGUAUUUCAUAUGGAUUUAUAGGUUGUCGGGCUUGUGCACAAACACGGAGUCGGCGAACCAACUUGUGGUUGGAUGGCUAGAGGGACAGUGGUAUCCUCAACCCAUCAGGGUUCAAGUCCUGGUGCUCGCAUUAUUCCUGGAUUUAUUUCAAGAUUUUCGGCGAUACGCUUUCAGUGGAAGGAGAUGUUUCCAUCGACGAUGAGGUGCCUACGUUGACUUCGUAAAUCUCAAGAUGAUAUGCCGGCUCAGUCUCUCGAAGGUGCUCAUAGGGGUAGGAUAUGCGUGUGUGCGUUCAUAAGGGUAAGUGUAUGCGCGCAUGUAUGAGCGCUUGCGUCUGUACUGUGGUAAAAAGUACAAAGUCGCCAAACGGCUGCCUCCAUAAAUUUUUAUUUAUCUGUUUUUGUCAAAUCCCCUUCAAAUUUGUAGGGGCAAUUUAAGCUCAGUUUAACCUAUGUAAACACAUGUAUCGGCAUGAUAAUUAUCAACUAUAUUAGUUAGGAACUAGGCUACAUAUACUUAGUGGCCAAAAUGUGCCACAUUACAUAUAGUUUGCGACUUUACAAUGUCGUUAAUCGACAAUACUACCUAGACUAGUUGUCGUCCUCCUCAUUCGAAUUCAAGUUGAUGAGGUAGGCGUAGGGGUCAGAGCAACGAGCAACGACCGCCAUCUGUGACACCUCCUCUUUGUCGGCCUGAGCGGGGCUGAAGCACUCCUCCUAGCAGCGGCGCGUGUCCACUUUGAGUCCGGAGAGACGCACCACGACUGCGAUUGGGUCAGGACGAUGUCGCCCAAGGUGCCAGAUACAUCGUGCUCGCUGCNNNNNNNNNNNNNNNNNNNNNNNNNNNNNNNNNNNNNNNNNNNNNNNNNNNNNNNNNNNNNNNNNNNNNNNNNNNNNNNNNNNNNNNNNNNNNNNNNNNNNNNNNNNNNNNNNNNNNNNNNNNNNNNNNNNNNNNNNNNNNNNNNNNNNNNNNNNNNNNNNNNNNNNNNNNNNNNNNNNNNNNNNNNNNNNNNNNNNNNNNNNNNNNNNNNNNNNNNNNNNNNNNNNNNNNNNNNNNNNNNNNNNNNNNNNNNNNNNNNNNNNNNNNNNNNNNNNNNNNNNNNNNNNNNNNNNNNNNNNNNNNNNNNNNNNNNNNNNNNNNNNNNNNNNNNNNNNNNNNNNNNNNNNNNNNNNNNNNNNNNNNGGGCAGAGUAUGCCCCGUGGUUGCACGACAUCUGCGACGGGAGGUAAGAGUGGAGGAGAUGGGAAAGGAGGAAGCAAGGAGGAGGCAGAGGCAACAACUAGGGCUUGGGUUGAUGGUGACGCAUCGUCGUCGGGCUUCUAUAGCCAGGGACUGAUGUAGCAUGGCGGCCAUCGCGACAGCCACCUGAGAAUUCACGACAAGUGAUUGGCGGUCAUGUCCCCACACUAACUGGUGAUUAAUCGGAAUGCGCAAGUGCGUGUACAGGUGGCGAGCUGUUUCAAACCCGACCAUGGCACGAGGAGGAAGAAGUUGGAACUUCCUCCCGCGCUGGCGGUUGGGUUUGGAGCAAGCUCCAUACUGGCCAACCACAGCCUCCAAAUAUUGAGAGUACAAGAUAAAUUAUACUCAUUGGCAGCCAUUCAUUUUGGAUCAAAAUCGUCGUGUUGACAGUUAUUAUGACGAUUGGGACCAUAUGGCAACUCUCUACUAAAGUUGCUCUAAUACUUUUGUUUUCUCCAGUGAUGUGUCAAGCGCUCUUGAUGCUAAUUCCAGUAGUUUCACAAUCAACAAAAUUCAAGGGUACUGUAGUGAUCUAAACGUUGUUAUUUUUGUUUACAAAGGGAGUACAUGACAAGUAAAAUCAUAGUUUUCCUAUUAGUUUUUUACAAACCUAUGAAUCGAAGAGGUUGUGAUGCGGAGCAUCCUACGUUCAUCCCCAUGUACACUCCGACUACUCUCCAAUCCCCAAGAGGACAUAUGACGAGACCUUGAACAUUCGCCAUUGGACACAAGGUGAACUCGCUUCUCUCCGAACUGUCACUUUCCACAUGUGAGAUAUGGCUACUACCUCCAACGUGUGUGCUAUGCAUGACCAGGAACCAAGAGGAAGGCCAUGUAACAACUAUGAGCAUUGGACAAGACGGCGAGGACACCAAGCGCGAGGAACAAGAGGAAGAGCUGCCAGGAAGCUACAACUCUCGGACGUCCGACGACCUCCGGAUGACAAACGAUCUCCGGACGUCCGGCGCCUGGAGACUCCACCAGCCAGAUCGACUCCAGCCAAGGCAUCCUACAGCGCCCGGACGACCGGCAGACACCGGAUGUCCGACACUCAUCAGCGCCCGGACGACCGACGCCGACCGGACAUCCGACACUUCCAGACCAGAGCCAAAACAUCGAAAGUCCGAAGACUUCCGGACGACCAUACGCCCGUGAGCGACCGGACGACUGACAGCCAUCGGACGUCCGACGCCUGUCUACGCACAGAGACCGUGCCCGAGGCCCAUGUAUCUCUCUCCCACUUACCCCUUCAUGGACCUAGACUAUAUAUACUCCUCCACCUCCUCCUAGUUAGGGUUAGAAAAGGAUUAGCUCAUUUGAGAGAUAGAGCUUUGCUCAUUCACUUGGUUACUUCUCCAUUGGAGUCCACGGCCUCUUCGGAGAAGAUCCCCCAAGCGGAUUCAAGACCCCUUCAUGCAAAGGCCCCUUAAGACCUCCUCACGGAGAAGAACUACCGUCACUUGUAUCGUCCUUUGUCGGAUUUGGAUCGUGUAUCUCUUUGUGUUUCGAGGAUCUAGCACAUGUGUAAUCAAAUCUUGUUGGUUUGAGUGAUUUCGCUCCUCGUGUUUUCCUUCGUGUUUCUUCGUGUUUCUUGUGGGAUCCGCUCCAAUCGUGAAAGAUCGGGCAUCUAGGGUUCUACCCUACUCAUCUUGGAUUAGAGAAAGGUUGAUCACGAAUUUGGACCCCCUACCCCUUGUUUUUCUAGCCUAAUUUUGUUGUGUUCUUCCGUAAUUUUGAAAAUCCCCAUAAAAAAUAGCCCCAAAUGUUUUUUGUGAUUUGUUGGUUUGAUGAUGUUUUGUUGAUUUUGAUCCAUGGAUUUGCUUGGUUUCGAGUGGAUCUAGCAUCUCCCCAAGUUUCCCCACUUUCCAUCCACAAAAUCUCAUCAAUUUUGACCCCGAAAUCCCCAUUUUCCGCCGAAAAUCACGUCCCGAAACUCGGAUCUCGAGUUGACCCAGACCCACCGGACGUCCGACACUUUACCGGACGACCGGCCUGUCCGCAGCACCGGACAUCCGACCCUUACCGGAUGUCCGACACCACCGAUCCAGUACCAAAACAUUGGAUUUCCGGCCAUUUCCGGACGUCCGUUCCACGCUCCAGCCCUUGUAAGUCCGACGAUCACCGGCCGUCCGACCCUUCUCGGACGUCCGACACCUGUAGAUUCAGACUUCGGCUGAUUUUUGUUUUGCCCAUAACUAAUUCAUCCGAACUCCGGUUUUGACGUUCUUUUGCUCAUUUUGAAGCUAUUGACAUCCCCCAUCCCACAAAAUACUUCCAACAUCAUUUGACUCCAUCAAAAUUUUGGAACUUUGGCAUCUUUUCCUAGGGCUUCCACCACAUCAUCUGCUACACCACCACCGACUUCCGCAACCUAACCCAUUUUGCUUGCCAUAGCAUUAGUGGUUGAUUGAGUAAUGAUUCGAGUCUCCUAAGGUGUUUUGGCUACUUAGGGACGGUUACUUCUUCAUUAACCACCACCAUAACUUCUGCAUAACCUUGUCCACCAUACACUUCCGCCACCCCAACUUAACCCAAUUUUAUUUGAGCUUGUUUGAGUUGUGGCUUGUGUCUCCUAAGGUGUUUCGGCUACUUAGGGACAAAAACUUCAACUUCGACUUGCAUAACUCACUACACUUCCGUAUUGCCGAGUGCAAACCACCAUCGCUUUCCGCUACCACCAUUUGACAUUUGAAAUUUGACUUUUGAGUCGCGGUUUUUAUAUUUCCUAAGGUGUUUCGACUACUUAGGGACGGGUCUACGUCAUCUUGGUAUCUACAUCAAGAACGUCGCCACUCAUCGUCGCCAUGAGGUCGUCAUCGACAUUGACCAAUUCAUCAUUUUGACACCCCUACCGUAAGCAAGGACGGUAACCUCGACGACAUCAUUGUACAUUCUCCUUGCCAUUACAUUGUUAACCCCUAGCCCAUUUUGCAUCACUUGCCUAUCGAGACUAGCCAUUGAGUAUUGUCGGCAAUGUUACUUGUGCACAUUAGUGAUCAUUGGUCUACACCUCCCAUUGCAUACAUACCAUAUCAUAUUGGUAUCAUCAUAUCAUCUCUUGUGUCACAAGAUUGUUCCCGCAUAUACACAAUUGCUAUCUUGGUUUGUGCAUUGUGCAAAAGUGGCCACACAAAAAACAAAGAAUAAGCUUUUAAGCAAAAAAGAGAGAGUAAAGAAGUUUGUAAGCAAUAGCCAUAUCAUCAUACCACAUUGCAUAUAAGAUUGUCAUAUCCGAUCAUCUUGGAUCAUCGAUCUUGAGAGGAACAUCUGGAACCAUAUAUACAUAGCAUAAUUGGGAUAGAAGUCAUUGCAUUUUUGUCCCCUAUAGGUUGUGCACAAGUGUCGUAUCCGCCUAUUGAGCAAUCAUGCUAGCAUCUCCCUAGAGUUGUGCAACAAGAGCAUUUUUCGUGGAUUCCACAUUUUGAGCUCAUUCCUUGGUUGCACAACCCCAUUUAUCUACCUGUGUGACACAUAUUGCUAUUGGUCUACUUGUUUUACUUGUGAAUUCGUUAAUCUCUUUCAACAUUAUUGACUCUUGCUAACAUUUUGCAUCAAAUUUUUGUGCCACUAUCCUCACCGAGCUCCACCAUAAGCCUUAUUUGUGUAGGUGUGAGAAAUUGACGAGAUCGGUACCAAUUGUGCUAUUUCCUUGUUACAUCAUUGAGUGAUCAUUGAUCCAUUCUCAACAUCGGUCAAGGUACAUUUGGUAUAGUUCUCUCCUUUCUUCCACUCAUAUUUGCUCGAGUCUUUUGAUGGAUAGGAAAGGCAUUUCAUCUCCGAUCUUCCAUGACAACGAUGGCGCGAACAACUACAUAACCAAAGCGUCCAUCUACGGUCUACAACAACAAAUGCAAGGUGCACAUUCUACCUUGCGAGAACGCAUCGAGAACCUCUCCAUCCACAUUCAUCACUCCAAAGCAAGGAAAAGGGACUACAUCGACAACAAGCUUUCCACACAAAAGGAGGAGCAAGAUGCAAGGAUGGAGGAGAUUCAGGCCUUGUUGGUCAAUCGUUCUUCCCCUUCGUCAUCUUCAAGGCGGUGGCAAGCAAAUCGAUCAUCUUCGGAGCGCCCAAGCGAUGCAAGUGCAUGUUGUCCACGUCCACAUCUCCAUGGCGAUCAUCAUGAUCAACAUCGUCAUGAAGGGCAAGUCACCUCCAAGCAUCAUGUGCGCGACAACGAACAACGACAUCUACUACGAGCUCAAGCACAACAACGACACCAUCAUGAUGAAGAUGCUCUACAAGCGCAAACCUACAAGUCCGAACAAGCUCUACAUCAAGCUAUGGCCAAACUUCAUGAGCUCAAGAGAAGACCGCGAGACAAGCACCACCA
This 73962-nucleotide long non-coding RNA is filed under the name Triticum aestivum (bread wheat). RNAcentral's name for it is "long non-coding RNA (TAES_LNC022201)". The record is from RNAcentral. Lineage: Eukaryota; Viridiplantae; Streptophyta; Magnoliopsida; Poales; Poaceae.